This 52601-nucleotide long non-coding RNA is filed under the name Gossypium barbadense (sea-island cotton). Its description in RNAcentral is "long non-coding RNA (GBAR_LNC016974)". The record is from RNAcentral. Lineage: Eukaryota; Viridiplantae; Streptophyta; Magnoliopsida; Malvales; Malvaceae.
UUGACUAACCUAUUGAAGCUUGAAACCUUAAACCCCUAUGAUCAUUCGUCCUUCUCCACCCUUUCUUUGCUUCGAAAUUGAAGGAAAUAAAAAGAGAAAUGAUUUCUCUUUCUAUCCACUAUCUAAUAUUUAUUCAUUUUUUUAUUUUAUUAUAAUAUUAUAUUAUUUAUCAUCUAUUAACACUAAUAUAACAUUUAUAACAUAUAUAUAUUAUAAUACCUUGACCGUCCAUUUCAAUUAAAAAUAAAGGUAUAUUAGUUUUUUAGGUCCCUUAUUUAUAAUUUACCUUAUAAUUAAAUAAUAAUUCACACAUUUAUACUAAUGUGGUUUAAUCAUUAUACUUAAAUUAAUCACUAAUUAGACAAAAUUACCUAUCUAAAAUUCAAUUCGCUACUAAAAUAACUCUGUAAAUAUUUAUUAAAAAUAUUUAUGAGUCUAGCUUACGAAAACGGGGUCCCAAAACCACACUUUCCAGCACUAUUGACUUUCGGGUCGUUAAAGGUUAUCCUGUUGAUAUGAAUUGUAUAAAAUGGAAUGUUAUAUGACUUGAGUGUGAUGAACUCACCUAUUGAUAUGAAUUGUGGUAACAAGGAAAAUUGCUUAGUUAAUUAUUUUGUUAUGUUAUUAUGGGAAUUAAGGUAAGUUGCAUUGUUUUGAACCUAUGAACUUACUAAGCAUAUAUAAUGCUUACUCUAUAUCGUUAUCCAUUUUUUGUAGUUGAUAUUUUGUGGAACCCGGCGAUUGGAUCAUUCCGUAGAUCACACUAUCCAGCUUUAGUCUUGAUAGACUUUUAUAUCGUUCAAAACUCGAUUUUGUAGCAUGUAUAUAGGCUUGAUAUGCAUAAGUGUUAUUUUGGAUGAUAAUGGUUUUGAUAUACAUAUAAUACUUGUUUUUGAACAUUAUAUGGCAUGUUUACAAGUCUUGAUAAGUGUUUGUGCUUGUAAAUGGUUUAAUGUCUAAUUGGUGGAUAUGGAAAUGGAUGAGUAUUGAUAUGUGCAUUGUGAUUAAUGGAAUGAAUGGAUUGGUAUAAACAUGUGAUAGUAUCAAAUGUUAAAUUGCACACUUGAAUUGGAUGAAUGGUACCAAUUUAGUUGAAUGACUUGUAAUGUUAUAUGAUCUCUUUAUUGAUGUAAUGGUGUGUUUGUGGCACAUUGGUUAGUUACUUUUUAGGUUGAAAUAUGUAUUUUUUGGAGUGGAAUUGGUAUGUUUUGAUUAGGAUUACAAGUUGUGAAGAUUACUUUGUUUGUUUUGUUUAGUAAAAUGUCCAUUUCAUGUGAAAUAACUUGAAUUGUUUUGUGGUUGGUUAAAUGAAUGUGUUGGUAUGUGUAAGAGUUAUUUUUGUGCAGGUUUGAAUGUUCAAAAUUGUACCAUUUGAUUAUUUGGUGUGGCUUGGCACAAAUUAUGUACCAAAUGGCCAAAAUUUACCAAAAACAAGGUUCUCGUCUAGACGUGAAUUUUCCUUCAUCGCAACGUCAAAUGAUAGUUUGUGACGUCCCGACAUCAAGUGGUCCGACAUCAUGACGUGACUCACUGUCCAACAUCGUCACGGCAUGGAGAAGGGCUUAUCGCAACAUGAAGUCCAAGUUUUUAAAACUUUACAAUAUUUUCCUAAUUCAUGCCUAGGUCACCUAUAGAGCUUUCGUAAGCUCGAUUUAGUCUUAAUUUCUAUUUAAAACACAUCCUAUGAUUACAAUUGAGUUACUAGUGAAUGUUGCAUGAUUUUUUUAAUGUUUCCAGUUCUGAAUUACUGUAGUAACAUCUUGUAACUCGGGCCUAGCGACUAGACCGAGUAUGGGGUGUUAUAUUCUCACAGUACAACCAAUGAUAUAAGUCCUAAUACUGGUCUAACGCUCACCAAUUUAGCGACCUCACCAUUAUGCAAAGACUAUAUCACUCUCCCACUAAGCUUCCCCCUCAAAACCAUAGUUUUGCAACUCAAGAGACUCUCUUAAUUGCUUACAAAAGUAAUGCACAUAUACAUGUUCCUAACUUGAACAAAUUAUGCUCUAUCAAACCAUAUUUUAAAAGCAGUUAUAAAUCGAGAUAGUGCACAAUUGAUUUCUCAAUAAAGUAAAAUAAGGAAAUGAAAGUAAUAAAAGAGAAGGUUGGGGAGUAUCAAAGAAAGUUAAAUUGAAAAGUAUGUUGUAGUAUACUAAAUUAAAGUAAAGAUUGAAUCAUAAAGAUGUAAAAAGUUUUGAAGUUCAAGUAUAAUUAUUUUAAAUUUUGGGGAAUGAAGUAUAAACAGGAGAAAUUGAAGGACCAAAAGAGAAAAUAGCCCAAAUUUCUUAUGACAUGAAAUUGAUGUGUAGGGACUAAAUUGAAUAAGUGAAGAAAUAUGAAAGACUAAAUUGUAACUUUUACCAAAAGUGAAUAAUGACUCAAUGACUGAAUUUUGAAGAAACAUGAAGGAUAAAAUGGUCAUUACUCAUAUUAGAUAAUUUUAUGGUGUAAUAAUUAAGAAAGAAAAGUGUUAAAUUAUGAUUGGUUGAAUAUUUUAUUAUUUUAUAAGAUAUUUUAUUAUUUAAUUGAUAAAUUAAAUAAGAUAUUUGUAUGGAAAUAUGAAGAAAAGUCUUCACGUUUCCAACGCCACUUAUAUAUGCAUGAAAGGGGAUUUUUAUUUCUUUAUAAUUUGGUCCCUUACCAUGAAAUCUCACUUUUUCUCUCAAAGUCCUUGAAAAUUUCCCUUGCCACCCAAAAGGAGGAGUGAAAUAGAGAUACGAGAGAGUUAGAAUAUCAUCUUGAAAGAAAGAAAUUGGAAGUGGAAGUGGAGAAAGUUGUGGAAAAAGUGAAGAGAUUAAAGAGACAAGAUAAGCACUUCAAGAAUUUUACUAUAUUUAAUUUUAAUCAAGUAUAGAUUAUGCUAAAUAGUUGAAUUAAUUAUGAAUAAACUAAUAUUAUGUAAUGAACUGAUUUGAUAUGUUGAAAUAAUAGUAAAAGGACUCAAAUCUAAAGUGGAAAAAAGUUUAAUAUUUUUAUAAAGUAUUAAGAUAAAGAGUUUAAAUGAUGUGUUAGGUAUUAGUGAAUUAAUUACAAAGUGAUAUCAAAGUGAAAUUGUGGUAAAUAGUGAAUUUUCAUGAUGCUAAUGACUAAAUUGUAAACUUUGAGAAACUUAAAAUUAAAAAUAAUUGAAGUGAGGUGCAUAAAAAUUAGACAUGUGAAGUAAGAAAUAAUAAUGAAUUAUUUUAUUAAAGUUUUAUGUGAUAGUGAAAUUGAACGAAAAGUGAAGUUAGAAGAACAAUUAUAAUAAUUACUGAGUUUUUGUAAUGUUAAAGUCUAGAUUGCAAAAUGAUUAGAAAUGACUAUAUGUAUUAAAAACAUAAGAAAUUUAUUUCUAGUAUAGGUGCUUAUUAUGUUUUAAUGCGUUCAUUAAGUGAGAAUGAAGAAGAAGUAAUGAAAAUAUUGUAAACAAUGAAAAGAAAGUGAUAUGAAUUAUAGUAUGAAAAGUGAAAAUGCAAUUAAGUUUACAUGUAAGCUUUAAGGGACUAAAUAGAAUAAUAAUCAAAAGAAUAAAGUUAUGUACAAUCAAAUGAUCUUGUAUAAUAAUCUAAGAGUUUGAUAAAUGAAAUAAGUGUUAACUGUUUAUAUGAGUGAUAAUAAGUAAAAUUUUUACUAAAACAGUUUUAGAUAGCAGCAGUAGUUCAACUUUGAAAAUUCACAAAAAUAUUGUAGAGAUCGAUUUAGAGGUUAAAUUAAAUAUGGAAUUAAAUCUUAUUGAGUCUAAUUUAUUAUAAAAGAAACAGUGUAAGUAAAUGAAUAGUAGAUCAUGAGAUAUAUGAAUUUUUUAAAGAUAAUGUCAGAAUGAUUUAGGGUUCCCCUAUUUUGACUUUGAAAAAUUGUUUCAAAUUUUACAAAAAUGUUUAGAAGAUGAAAUUUAUAUGCUUAAAAUAUUGAUGAGUCUACUUUUAAGGGAAACAAACAGAAACAUUAUAUGAGUCCUAUACUAAAAGAUAAUUAAUUUUUAGUAAAGAAUGGUCAAAGUUGCCUAGCAGUAGAAUAAGGGGAAAAUAAAACAAUUUACUGUAUUAAUUGGCAUAAGAGGAAAUUCUAAAAAAUUUAUUGUAAAAAUUUAAUUGAGUCUAGAUUCAAAAACAACAAGCGGAUCUUAAUUUGGAACAUUUUAGACCAAAAUAAAUAAUUUAGUGACUGCUACUCAAGUGGACAGUUUUGCUAAAAUUAUGUAAAUAGUAAAAUUGAAAUUAAUGAUGCAUAUAGGCAUACAAUACUAAAAGACAUAAAUUAUUGUAUAAUUACAUGUACAUAAAGGAUGAGGAAUGGAGAGGAGGAGGAUAAAUAAUGGAAGAGUUAUAAUAAUAAGAAAUUGUUGCAAAUGAUGGAUUCGCUAAUACAUAAGAGAAGUUCAGAUGUAUUGUUGAGGUACUAAGUGAGUGAUUAUUAUAAAAUGAAUUAAGAAAGUCUUAAAUGAUAAAUUGAUUGGUAUAUGUUAGCAAUAGUUAUGAUAUGUAAAAAGAGUAAAAUAUUUUUUAUAAGAGUAAGUCCUCUAAAGGACUUAUUUACAAAACUUCAAUAAUUAUGUUAAUUUUAUAGACAUUGUUAUCUUUGAUCAAAUAACAUGUUAUAUUAUGUGGACUUGAUGUGAAAUGAAUUGGAUUGGUUAAAUUUUAAUUUCUGGACAGUGAUUUAAGUGAAAAUUGUUGAAAAGUGGAAAUGUUUUGGAGACAGGGAGCAUGUCACAACAACUGGAGAACCAUGUCGCAACGAUUAUUCAAUUCAGUGAAGUCAGUGAGUGAUGUCGCGACGUGAAACCCUCUACGUUGCGACAUCACCCCAAAAUUUUGCAAAAUUUUUAUUUUAAUCCUUGUUCUCUAUAAAGAAAGCUAAAAAUUAGCAUAAUAUACUACUUUCAUAACUGUUUUGAUUUAAUCCAAUGUCUUCAACACAUGGAAAGUAACUUUCCUUGUUUAAUAAGUAAUCUGCCUUGAGCCGAAGAAACUGCAGAAGCAUUCAAUUUCAACUCAGUUGGUCUUCAACUUAUGGGCUUUACACGUAAGACAAGUAAGUCAACUUUGAAAAUAGACAAGUAAGACAAUAAAACUGUGCCGGAAGAUAUAACCACUGUUUCAGCCAAAGGAGCAACUAUGAAAAUCACCUUGCCUCUAACAAAUACUUUUAUAGAUUAAACAAGCAGGAGCCUCCAAUGAAUGGGAUUUUGCCAUUAGUAUCAUUUUUGUGAAAGAUUUAGCCAUUCAUAUUUCAUAUACGUAAGAUCGAUUUAUGAAUGGUGAACAUUAUUGUUGUUAUGAUGACGAAAUUUUAUUAAAUAAUAAAAUAAUAAAAACAAAUGUAGGGGGAGCAUCGGCCCGAUUAAUACUAAUCAUUUAUUAUGAGAGGUUUAAACCUGGUGUGUAUGAUCUCAUAUAUGUGAUGUCAUCUGGUAGAUCACCACCAAUUCCCAGUUUUUCACCUUCUAUAAAAGCCCUACAACCUCUCACCAUUUCUUCAAAGUAACAAAGAUCCUCAGCUCCUGUAAUACUAAAUUUACAGCUUUAGUUCAGGGAUGAAGCUCAGGCUAGCAAUCACGUGGUCGUUUCGAUGGAUGGAACAAGGUAAGGUAGGUAGGUAGCUAGAGCUUGCCAUGUUGGUAAGUUUUAGAGCAGGAAGGUGACAGAAGAGAGGGAGCACACAGGGCUCUUUUCUUGCAUGAGAGGGUCAUGCUUGAAACCUUAUGUGCUUCCUCUCUUCUGCCACGGACCUCUCUCUCUCUCUCUGCCCCUAUACUUGCUUUUAAGUGCAUCAUGAACUUGUUGUUCAUUAAUUUCUUCUUAAGUUUUCUUAAUAAUUUCAACAUUCUUUUCUUGCAGCAUGUGUAACUAUAUAGUAUAUAUAUUGCUCAGCCAUCAAAUUUAUUUUGUUAGAAAGGAAAAACAACUGAAGCAGUGGACCUACAGCACAACACUGUCAGCAACAGGACAACAGAAAAACACCAUCAAUGCAGUUAACAAAGUAGAGCAAAACAGAAAAAACAAGAAAUCAGCUAAGCAAGACAGCACCACCUCAACUAUAAAUAUAAGAUGCUUGGGUCUUUGGCUUAAAAACAUUAAUGAAUGAAUUAAUUGUAGAUGAAGGACACCAAAUAAUGAUUUCUGAUGCAUAUUAAGUGGAGUUUGAAGUUGAAUAAGGUAGGUUACAAAAUUCCAAUAAAAAUAAAUUUAAUCAAACUUGAUUUAUGGAUAUUCACAGAGUUGGGUUCCCAUUGAAGCCCAAAUUGGCAAGUGUAAAGUUAAGUUUGAUAUUUAUUGCCCAUAUAGUCUACUAAUAGUUAAAACAAGUCAAAAAAUCCUGUCGUCAACGCUACCUUCAACAGGGUUUCAAAAAAGGAAACGAUGGAGAUGAGCGUUGGCAGUGCCAACACUGGUGGGUCUCCGACAAAGCUAACUACCGUUGCGAUUGCCGUCAAGAGUGGAAGCGGUAGCAGACGUGCGGUUCGAUGGGUCGUGGAGAAUUUGAAAGCGGAUCGUUUUGUUUUGGUCCACGUGAUGCCAGCAGUCACCUCUAUCCCAACACCAUGUAAGUAUUGAUUACAAGUUUGAUCAAAUAUAUUAAAUUUUAAAAAUGAUAAAAGAAAUUUUGACAAUGAAAGACUAUGCUGAAAAAACUGUUUAUAGCUUUUGCUGCGUUAAAUUGUGUUGGAGAUGAUUACUACAGCAGGAGAUCAAAUACCUAUCACAGAAAUGGAUGAAAAUGUGGUCGCAAUGUAUGUUCAAGAAGUGAAACUUAAGUUUGAGCAAGUCUUUAUACCAUUCUUGAACUUAUUCAAAACAAGCAAGGUGAGUUUUGGCUUCUAUUGUAAAUUUAAAAAUUCUUUUCAAACCAAUCUUGCAAAUGAGGUUUAAAUCGGAUACAUUUUUUCUCAUCUAAGUUUCUUUAAUAAAAUUUGAUUCGUUUUUGGGUAGGUGGAAACAGUGGUGCUCGAGGAUGACUAUCCUGCAAUUGGGCUUCUAAGAUACAUUUCUGAGUUUGGGAUUCAGACUCUGGUAUUGGGUUCUUAUAGUUCCAAUUAUAUAACAAGGUAUGCUUAUGCAGCUGUUUGUUUGCUGGUAAAACCUGAAAUCUAUGUGAAUGUAUGUACUGAGCUUAAUGGCAUCUAUUUAUUUGCAAGUUUUGCUAUAUGAGUUGAAUGCAAAGCUUUUGGAUAGGAAAUAUUGAUUAGCUAGUUUUCAGAUGCAUAUUAGCUUUUUCAUGGCUAUGGAGUAAUCUUCAGCAAUGUGAACUAUAGGAAGUUGAAGGGUCCUGGGGUACCUAAUUCUGUCCUCAAGUGUGCUCCAGAUACUUGUGAUAUUCGGGUUGUUUAUAGACAAAGAAUCAUCACAAAACAAGCUAAUCCCCUAUGGACUAGCGGUAAGAAAUAUUUGUGUCUACGUUGCAGCUUUCUUAGUCAGUUUACUGACAGUCUUGUUUCUGUCUUCCGCAAUCUCACAGGGACCAGUUCCAGUGGCUUUAAGAAACAUAUAUAUGGUCCUAUUAAUGCUUCUGCAGAAUCUACAGCGCAAAACUCCUUUGGGACAGCAUCAUCAUUUGAGCUUAACUACCCAUAUUUACAUGCAUUUUCAUCUAGGGGAUCUUUAACAAAUGCUAGUUCUAUUAGUCACUGUCAUUCAUUGGGUUCUACACAGAGUGAAAAGGUGAGUUUUCUUGGGUUCUACACAGAGUUUUCAUCUAGGGGAUCUUUAGCAAAUGCUUGUAAUUUUGGUAUUCCUCCAGUUUCAUGUGCUAUCCGGAUGAUUUUUUAUACAUGUGGUUGAAUCUGCAGGCUGAAGUGGAACAGCUGCGUCUAGAAUUACAAAAUACUGUUGCCAUGUACAAAGAAGCUCGUGAAGAGCUUGUCGACACCCAGAACAAGGUGACGAAACAAGCACUUGAUAAUGUUCACUUAUCGAUGCUCUUGCAACAAAUUCUACAUUCUUAUACAAAAGGUUCUGCAUAGCCAUUUAUACUUUAAUUUGCAGGUCCGAUUACUUUCUUCAGAAUGCCUAGAGGAAGCAAGUAGAGUGAAUGCUGCUCAGGAAAGAGAAGAAGCAUUCAGAAAAAUUGCUGCAGAAGAGAAAGUAAAACUUUUGCAAGCAAUGAAGGAUGUUGAAGAGGCAAAACACUUGCUUUCUAGAGAAGCUAAUCGAAGGCAGAUGGCAGAACUAAAUGCUCAUAAAGAAUCCUUGGAAAAGCAGAAAUUUGUCGAUGCACUCUUCUGCUGUGACAGAAGGUACAGAAAAUACACUAGGGAUGAAAUCGAAGUGGCAACAGAUUUCUUCUCCGUUAGUAACGUGAUUGGUCAAGGAGGAUACGGGAAAGUCUAUAAAUGUAGUCUUCAUCGCACUCCUGUAGCUGUUAAGGUUCUUCAAUCCGAUGCAUUAGACAGGAAAGAGGAAUUUCUAAGGGAGGUAAGUUUCUGCAGCUUAUACUUUAUAGCUGCAGUCGCGUUAACCAACUGAUAUGUUUUUCCGACAACCAUAAUCUUUUUGAAAAAGAUUGCUCCUACUCUGACCUCUAUGCCUGGAUGUUCUUUUUGCAACCAUAAUAUCGUUACCCAUAAAGUUCAUGAAUUUUUAUGCUAAGUCUCCAUUUUGUGUAUUAAGGGUUAUGGUUAGUUUCUAUUUUCGAUGAAGCUUUUGGAGAAAUGCUCCACAGGUAGCUCAAUGUAUCACUGCAAUUAUGACAUAACAAUUUCUCCCUGAAAUUUGUUGCAGAUUGAAGUUCUAAGCCAGCUACACCAUCCACAUAUUGUUUUGCUUCUUGGAGCUUGUCCAGAGAAUGGUUGCUUGGUUUAUGAAUACUUGGAAAAUGGUAGCCUGGAGGAACAUAUUCUCCAGAAAAGUGGAAAACCUCCUCUUCCUUGGUUUAUUCGGUUCCGCAUAGUUUUUGAAGUAGCUUCUGGACUUGCGUUUUUACACAACUCAAAGCCAGAUCCUAUUGUUCAUAGAGAUUUAAAACCGGGUAAUAUACUGUUAGAUAGAAACUAUGUUAGCAAAAUUGGGGAUGUUGGGCUCGCUAAGCUUAUUUCAGAUGUUGUGCCUGACAAUAUCACCAUGUACAAAGACUCUAUUCUUGCUGGUACUCUCUUCUACAUGGACCCCGAGUAUCAGAGAACCGGCACCGUCAGACCAAAAUCAGAUCUAUAUGCUCUUGGACUUACAACACUCCAGUUACUGACAGCUCGGCAUCCAAAUGGACUUCUACUGGCAGUUGAAAAUGCCAUUAAAAAUUGUUGCUUAGCUGACAUUCUAGACAAGUCAAUUACGGAUUGGCCACUAGCUGAAACAGAAGAAUUAGCUCGAAUAGCAUUAAAAUGUUCAAAGCUUAGAUGCAGGGACAGACCUGAUCUUGACACAGAGGUUCUGCCAAUUCUCAAAAGACUGGUUGGUGUUGCAGAUGCUAGUUUAAAGUUGGGAAAGAGCAAUGUAUAUGCUCCAAGCUACUACUUCUGUCCGAUCCUUCAGGUCAAAAACUGUUAGCAGAACCGAUGCAUGGCUUAAGCACGAUCUUGUAUAGUUCAUUCUCAAUGAUUUUUCUGUUCUUUUUCUUUUUGGUGACACAGGAAGUGAUGGAUGACCCUCACAUUGCUGCUGAUGGUUUUACUUAUGAGCAUAGAGCAAUAAAGGCAUGGCUUGGGAAACACAACGUAUCGCCGGUUACAAAGCGUCAGCUUCAGCAUUCCGUAUUGACUCCUAAUCACACAUUACGCUCUGCCAUACAUGACUGGAAGUCACGGGUGACAUUAUCUACUACGUAAUAUUAAGCAGGUGGCAGUUCCUUUUCCUGGAAGUUACUAGACAUUGUUUCAUGAUGAAAAAGAAGCAUCCAUCUCAUUCCCCGCAACCAAAGAAAUCAAAUUGGAAAAAUGUGGGCACGGGCUUAUGUAUACAACAACUAGAUUUGCACAUAACAUGUGAUUUUUGCACAGCACAGAGUAUGCAUGAAAGAAGACUUUUUUUUUUCUUAAAUGGAAAAGAAGACACUCUUGUAUAAAGACUUUUCUAUUUAUUAAGCUAUCUUUAGAAUAUAAUUCAAAAUGUGAAUACUUAGCAUUAUCAAUUAUUAUAUACAUAUUUUGUAUCCUGGAGUAUUAUCUAUGAAGAAAUCCAGGCUUUGAAUGCUAAAACAUCACAGGCGUCAAACUUGUGUGAACUCUAGUGCAUUUGCAUCUGGAUCUCGUGUAAAUAUUGCUGGCCUCCCGGAUCGGCUAAGUGUGUAGGGAAUACCUGCAAUUUGGAACAAUAUUGCACUAAGAUAUCCUCUUUCUGUUUAUAACCUACAGAAUUGCAUGAGAAUCUGCCAUCAAGGCAAAUUAUUAGCAAACAAUGAGAUAUUGCUUGACAUGGAUGACCCUAGAAUAAGGAAAAAAGGAUUUUACCGGCUUUGUCAAGGAUUGCUUGCAGCUUAGAUACAUCUUGAAUUGAAAUACAAGCAUGACGGUCUCGGCCUCCAUGUUCAGGUCUUCCAAUUAAGGGGUCUGGAUUUGGAAGUUCCAUCAAAUGUAUCAUCUCAGAACCCACCCACAACCAAGCACCUCUGUAUGGAAGCUUAUCAUGUGGCCUAGCCUCAUUUAUUUCAAGACCUAAUUUAACAUUUAGAAGCAGAUGCUCAGUUUCUCUCUUUCUUUCUUGCAAAAAUAAAUCAAUAUCUAUAAUAUGAGUUUAGAAAAGAGAUUACAUACCUAAAAUAUUCUGAUAAAAAUCAAGCGAUCUUUCAAGGUUUUCACAUAGAAUUCCAACAUGGUGAAUACCAACAACUCCAUAAUCUACAUCAAUGACAAUACUUAAAUGUAAUUCCAUCCAAAAUUGAAGAAGCAUCAAAUGUAGGAGAAAGCAACAAAUAUAAUAUACACUUUAUUUUGCUUGUAAAGUCCACCGUAAUGUGGCAAACUGUGAACUACGGCACCAAGGCAACUGCGUUUUGGAUUCAAUUCUCAUCAAAAUGACCCAAAAAGAGAGAUUUUGCAUUCAUCUUGUGUUAUAAACAAAUUAGGAAUGAAAUACAGAUGACAUGUUAAUUUCCUUUGAUGAUUUUAAAUAAAAAAAAAUUCAAAGAUGCUUCAAAAGCCAGAUGAACUAUAACAGGGUUAGAACUGAUGCCAGUUUCAUUCUCCAUAUUUCAGCUCUGAAUAGCUUAAGAGAAACCAUGGCUUCCAAGAUUGUUUUCCCUGAAAUCAGAUAUCUAAUGAGACAGCAAGCAGUUACCUAUCUUGUCACUGAUACUAGCUGAUUCUUUGUCAAGUACAUGUCCUUCAAUUGAACCCGCAGCUUUGGUCUUGAAACUUAACCUUUGACAUCUUCCAUUUCCAGGAAAAGUAUGACAAAUUUUGGAGGGUGUAUUUGCAGAUACGGCACUUGAACGAUUCAACUGGAAACCAAAAGAAAAAGAAAAAGAAAUUGAAGAACAAGGGUAUUCAAAAAAAACCAUCGAAUUCAAGCUUUGUCUCAAUCUGUGUAAUCAAAGAGUCUACUCUAGAAUUCGAAUUGCAGCUCUCCUAACCCUAGGACCAAAUUUUUCAUAUUUCGGUCGAAUAAUAAAUCCCAGUUUUCAAGAAACCAGAGAUUUAUUUAGUAAAAAUAAAAUAAAAUCAGCUCAUCAGCAUACUUCUCAGUCAAAUCUUAAUCACCUUCAAAUCAUUUACCGAAAUUAAAAGUUUUAAUUUAAUGAUAGAAUCUUUUUGGCAGCUAAUGAAGUUACCUUGUGUCGAAGAGAAAUUGCUGCAGAGAGACCGAGAAGAGAGGCCAUCGCUAAGCGUCAAUCUUUUUCUGUUAAUCCGUUCUCGUGUUUCCUUAAUUGUUUAACUUGUUUUGAACCCUCUGCAAGCUUAAACCAUUCAUUUAUCCGUGGCUCAGGUUUCUUCACAAAUGAACAGAAGUCACCACCACUAGUUGAGAAUUGGGGUAAUUCUGCAAUAAACAAAACAAUUCAAGUGAAUUGUGUAAAUAUAGUUAAUCAUUGGGCAUCUGACCAAAACAAAAAGAACCCAAAAGAUGAGACAAGGAAAGCAAUAGUCGAAUUCUCCUUUCAGUCCUUUUACUAUUCAUAUAUUUAAAAUUUAGUCCAUGGCUUGUUUAACUUAAAAUAAUAAAGAAAGUAAGUAUAAAAAUCAAAGGUAGAGAUAUUUAAUUUAGUAGUGAGAUAUAAGAAAAUGAAAAUGAGAAUGAGUGUUGGCUUCUAUGACUAUCCAUGUGGUGGAGUGGAGUCAAAGUGGCUUGUUGGUUGAAAACGUGUAGGAAUCCAAAGUCAUAAUUCACCAUUAAUAAUCAUUGUAUUUGUGCAUGUGUUUUUCAUUUUGCUACUCUCUAUUUGUUGAAUUGAAUAAUUAAUAAAAGUGAUAUAAUAAUCCUCUUGAUUUCAUGCUUGAAACAUGGCAGACAUGGUAGGUAGUACAAGGAUGUUCCCAUUAAUCUAGUAUACAACAAUUCAACACUUUCCCAUUUUCCCAAUUAUGAAUAUACAAUCAACUUUCUUCUUCUUCUUCUUCCACAUUUUCUUGAAAAAAGAAUAAACAUUUAAGUUAUUAAAAUUUAAAUUAAUGCAAUCUAUAGUAACGCAAUUAGUAUCGCGGAAUUAUUUUCAAUGCAAAAAAAUAUGAAUCUAAAUGUAUUGAAUUGUAUAAAAAAUUAAAUUAAUGCCACUACUGUACCACUAGAAAAAUCAAAUUUAUGUUUUCCUUCUCCCUUUUACAUAAAAUCUAUUGGAUCUAAAUUUAAAAAAAAAACAAUUGAGAUUGUUUGUUGCUUUUGGUAUAUAUGGCCAUUUUCAUAAAAAAAUCAUUUAAAAAAGAUACAAGUCUUAUUUUUUUACGAAAGAGCACAUAGAUUCACCAUAGAAUCCGAAUUCUCAAAAAUAAAUUUAAAGUGCAGCAACAAUAUAUGCAAAACAAAAUAGAAAAAAAAAAGCGAUUGAGGUGCACUACAAGCAUAAUCUAGGGGCUUAUAGGCCACAUAAAAAAAGUAUUUGACUUGAAAACAGUGAACAACUACUUUAUUGAUUAUUUUGAGCGAUCUAGGGGCUAUAAAUUUUAUGAUCCCACAAUUGUAAAUAUUUUUGAGAUGGGAAUUACAACAUUUCUUAAGGAUGUUGAGUUUGGAGGGAGAAAUAAGGUUAAAGACAUUGCUUUUGAGGAGGAUUUGGAUUCUAACUCAGUUCCUGCUAUCACUUUUAAUUUGGGCUAACAUUUUUAUGAUAAUAAAUAAUAACAUGUAAUUACUUUUAUUAUAUAUGUGAUAUCCAUAUUUUCCAACAUAAUCACGAAGAAAAGCUAUAGCCACCUUGAAGAAGCAAACUAGGAUGAGCUUAGAGUUGAAGUUGAACAUUAUAUUGCCACAAUACAAUAUAAAAAUUGAAAAUAAAACCAUCGUAGUGUCAUACACUACAAAAGGCGGUUGAUUCCCUAUUCAAACAAAAAAGGGCAAACUCUCGACAAAACCCUUUAACAAUGAUGAGAUGACAAUAAAAGGUUCUCAAAUUGUAUUCAAGCUCAAUUGUUAAUAUUUUUUAUUAUAAUAUUGUAAAAAAGUAUUUCUUAAAAGAUAUUUUUUUCCCAAAAAGAGAGAUCUUGGGAUGUUGAGGUCUAUGUAAAAUUCAAAUAUAAUGAAUUUUCGAUUACCUCGGAUUAGGGAGGGGGAGAGCUUGUCUUUGGAUGAAAAUAUGAGUAUAAAAAUGUCUAUAAUGUUACGUGAGAUUGUUCAAAUUUUUGAAAAUUUUACCGAUCCUCUCCUUAAAAAAUUUAAAAUUUGGUUUCUACCGAAUGAAAGAAAAAUCAUAUUUUGUUUUAUUUGAAAAUAUAUAUAAAUUGAUGGAAAUCAAAUUUUUUCCUAUAUAUAUAUGUUUUUGGCUUGGUGAAAAUUUUAUUUUAUAUUUUAUUUUUAGUGUGAAACAAAACCUAACUAAACCAACUACCUAAAGCAAUCAUUUUCCCUACCAUUCCAAGACUCUCCUAAUACAUCAGGUUCUAAAUUGACUCUUCUGGACAAGUCUGAGUUAUGCACUAUGUUGUAUUGUUUUGCCCAAUUUACUGAAAUCUCAAUGGUGUCCAUAAAAUUCCAAGAUAUACCUUGAAACACAAAAAGAUUCCUAUUUUUCCAUAUGCACCGUACUAGUAAACCAAAAAGAGAAGACCAAUGCACCCCGUUUCCCAACGUCCAACUAGACAUUUCUAGAUUUGAUCUAAUCCACUCUGAGAGAUUUUUGAAAAAAAAAACUAUGGCUGAUAAUUCCUUGGCACAAAGCACUUCCAAACAUUUUUAGUAUUCGGGCAAUCUCUAAGGACAAUGUAAAAUAUCUUCAAUCUCGUAAUGGCACACUGGGCAGGACGUACUUUAUCCAAUGCCCCUUCUACCCGUUCUUAGUUAGUUAGUAGUCUUUGUUUGUAAACGAGCCAUAAAAAGAAGUGAACACGAUGUGGUUCUUUAUACUUCUAGACGACUUUCCACUUAGUAUCCUUUGCAUCCCACAUAUCUGCUUUUAACAUAUAAUAGGCACUUUUAACUAAAAAUCUUCCAUUUGUUGUAUGUACCCAAAUGAUUUUAUCAGGGCCAGCUAGAGGGUAUAGUGGUAGGAUACUUGCGAUCCUUUUAACAACUUCUUCCGGCAAACGUUCCUUAAAAGCCUCCAUAUUCCAUGCUCCAUCCUCUACUACCAUAUCUUUAAAAAAAUAGACCGUGAUAGGCCUGUCUGUGGGAGGGUACAUACAUCUUUAACGGCCUUACUUUUAGGAUCCAAAAAUCUUCCCAACAGCGGACUGAGGUUCCUAUUCCAAUGUUUCAGCACAAGUUUUUCUUCAGUAGUGGCCACACCUUUUUAAUCCCUCUCCAAAUAGCUGAACAACUCCCUCUCUUGAUAUCUUCAGUGAUCCUUUCUUUUAACCUAUAUUUUGACUGUAAAACCCUGACCCAUAAAUCCUCUUUUUUGGUGACAAAAUUAUACCUUAAUUUCAAUAAAAAAUAGGCAUUCUGGUCUUCUAAAUGCUGAAGCCCAAGCCAGCACAUAGGUGAGGUUAGUAUACAAAGCCCCAGUCCACUAGUGCUAACUUUCGUCUACCAAUAUUAGAACCCCAUAUGAAUUGCCUUGCCAAACAUUCAAUCUCUUCACAUACUUCUUUUGGAACUUGCAUAGAUUGCAUAAAGUAAUUUGGAAUAGAUAGAAGGACCGAUUGUGCCAAAGUGAACCUUCUUACCAUAAAGAGUUGUUUUGCAUCCCAAUUGUAUAACUUAGCUCUGACCUUUUCAACUACAAAUGUAACCCCCUUAACCCAUACUUAUCGUCGAAAUAGGUUACGGAGUAUUACUAGAGUUUACAGAAUAAUUACACUUAAUUCAUGACAUUUACUCUUCAUAUCUUAAACCAAUCAUAUUCAAUCAUAUUAUCCCUUAAAUGGACCCUCGAGGCCCAAUUUAUGCAUUUGAAACAAGUCGGGACUAGAUCGGGAACUCAAAGAAUUUUUCGCAAAAUUUUAAAAAAAAUUUUAGAUGUAGGGGACACAUGCUCAUGUGGCCUGGCCGUAUGGCUCACACGGCCAAGUGACACACCCGUGUCCCAAGCCAUGUGGGCAUUCAUUGUGAAGCACACGGUCGUGUCUCAGCCCGUGUCUAUACCCGUGUAACUCUCUGACUUGGGUCACACAGCCAGCCACACGCCCAUGUGCUAGGCCGUGUGGACAAUUUAAUUUUUAAAAUUUAGGUACAAGGGACACACAGCCAAACCACAGGCCCGUGUCUCUACCCAUGUGGAUGAAAAAUAAGUCAUUUUCAGGCUACUUUUCUCACCCAAUUUGCCUUUCACCUACAACAACACUUAAACAUGUUCACCAACUAAUUCAAACCAUUCAAAUCAAGCCAAAUUCAUGUAUUAAGUAUGAUGUAAUAUCACCUAUAUGCAUAUUGGACUUAAUAUGCUAACUCAAUCUUACCAUCAAUAUAACAAUAUGCUUUUCAACACUUAACCAUUUCAAACACAUUCCAAGCAUGAUAAAGCUACACACAAAUAUAUAUACUUUUGCUUCAAAAUAGAACUAUUACAAGCCAUUCCAAUGUCUAGUUCCAACCAAAAUAUUUCUUCAUUAUGCUUAACUUAACUUAUACAUCCCAUUAUACCAAAAGUUAGUUUGUUUUAUAUACCAAGAAGUCCGAGGGAUAGUGUGAUGUGUCUCCGACCAAGUUCCAACCUUCACGAGCUUCCGAGUACUAUAAAAUAGAGGAAAGAAAACAGAGUAAGCAUAUUAUGCUUAGUAAGUUCGUAUAACGGAAAAUCAACUUACCAAUCAUUUAUAUUUAAGAUAAGCAUACAAAAUUCAUCCAAAGAAAUUUGGCAAUUUGCCUAAACACAUAUAAUCUCAAGAAACUUGUUAGUCACAUAUUACAUGUAAACAUCAAGAAUCAAGGAUGAGCUCAUCAUAUAAUAACUUUCAUAUACAUAUGCUUUUCAUUUCAUAUUUCUAUAUAACAUGUGCAUUUCCAUGAAAAAUCAUCUUAAACUCAGUUUAAUCAUGUCAGACUUUACCCGUUGAAUUUAUUUAAAAUAUUGAUGGAUACACAUGUAGUACACUCGAAGUGUACAAAACUGUAAUCUGUCAACUCAUAUACAGGGGUACCCAUUAGGGCACAUAAUCAGGAAGCACUCUCUCGAGCCAUAUAACAGAAAGCUCAUGUGAGCCAUGUAAUAGGAAGCUUAUCCAAGCUAUAACAAGAAACUCAUAAGAGUUUAAAACAGGAAGUUUAUUGAGCUUAAUAGGUAACUCCAAAGAGUUAUUAUCAGGGAGCUCCAGAUAGCGAUAUAAUAGGAAGUUCAAGCGAGUCAUAUCAAGAAACUCACAAAGAGCCUAUAUCGGGAUGCUCAUAAAGAGCUGUGGUAUGUUCGCAUUAUAUGUAGGAUCCAUACCGAUCAUAUAACAGGACGCUCACAAAGAGCUGUGGUAUACCCGCAACACAUGUAGGAUUAAUACCGAUCGGAAUGCUCGCAAGAACCAUGUAACAGGAAGCUCGAGAGGUCUUAUAAUAGGAUGCUCAUAAGAGCUAUGGUGUAUCCGCAACAUAUGCAGGACCACAAUCAAUACGGGAAACUUAUAUCUAUCGAUUAUCAUUUGUUCAAACAGGACUUAACAUUUAUCAUGCAUUUUCGAAUAUUUAAUCACUUUCACAUUCAUGGUAAUUAUACUAUUCACACAUAUAAUACUUAAUUUAAACAUAUAAAUGUACACAACUUAGUUACACGAACUUACCUCGAUAGUUGUUCGUGUUCGUAGGCUACUAAUCCUAUACUUUUUAUUUUCUUCGAUCCAAUUCCGAACUAGGUCUAUCCAAAUCUAUACGAAUGAAUUUAACUUCAUUUAAUACAAUUCACAUUCAAUUCCAUCCAAUUCACAUCCUAGGAAAAGUUAUCAUUUUACCCCUAUACUUUUGAUUAAUUCCAAUUUCAUCCCUAGGCUCAAAAAAUGAAAUUCAUGCAAUUUAAUCCUUAUUCCAAGCCUAGUCGAAUUUUUCAUAUAACAAUAACAGUCCAUGUAUUUCACAAAAAUAAAAAAUUUUCUAUAAAUCUUACAUCUUUUCAAUUUAGUCUCUAAAUCACAAUUUCAUGAAAAGUUCCUUUACAAAAGUUGAUUAUCUAUCAACAACCUUUCUUUUUCUACCAUAAAUUUCAAAUUUUCAGCAUACUCAUCCAUGGAAAAAUUUUAAUGCUUUGCUAACUUUGCAAAUUGAUCCCCAAAAUAGAUAGAUUAGGUUAUUACGAUCUCAGAAAUAUAAAAAUUACUAAAAACGGGACAAGAAUGCUUACCCAAUUAAGCUUGCUUGAUGUCUUUUCUCUUAGCUAGGGUUUCCAUAGAAUAAUUUUGGGGAUGAAGAUGAAAUAGAUGAUAUUUUCCUUAUUUAAUUAAUUAUCAUAUUUUAUUAUUUUUACUUUCCAAUUUAGUCAUUUUUUUAAUUAAAUUUUCAUGGAUGAAUCAUCAUAAAUAUCUACUAACUUCUCUUAAUGGUUUAUUUGCCUUAUAAGGACCUUAAAUUUUGAAUUCCAUAACUAUUUGAUCCUUCUAGCUACUAGAAUUCAACUUUUGUACUUUAUGCAAUUUGGUCUUUUCUAUAAUUAAACAUGAAGUCAGUAAAAUUUUCUUAUCGAAAUUUUCAUACAUUAUUUCUAUCAUAAUGCAGACCAUGCAAUAAUAUUAAAAUAAAAUUUCUUUCCAACUCGGAUUUGUGGUCCUGAAACCAUUAUUCUGAUUUCACUGAAAACGGGCUGUUACAACAAAUCUUAAGGUAGCAUUAGUAAUUCUUUUAUGAAAAAGCGAGAUUCCUAAAUAAGAGCCUAGCUCGUGAACCUUUUGGAACCCCAAAAGCCUAUUCAAUCUGUUACUUAAGUUAUCAUCCACCCUUCAGGAAAAGAACAUAUUAGUUUUUCGUGUAUUAACCUAGUACCUUGAGAAGCUACAAAAUUUAUCCAUGAUGCUUUUGAGUAGUAAACCAUGUUUUAUGUCAGCUAUUGAGAAAAUCACCAAGUCAUUUACAAAUAAAAGGUGUGAUAGGGGAGGUCCUGUCUUUGUUAGCUUAAUAGGAGUCUAUUUGUUGGAGGCCUGAGCUGCUUUGAUGUUAUGCCCUAACCACUCCAUACAUAAAAUAAAUAAGGUGACAGAGGGCAUCCUUAAUGUACUAUUCUUUUUGGUUUGAAUUUCGUUGUGGGUACUCCAUUCCACAAGACUUGCAUUAUGGAUGUUGUAAAUGUAGACAUAAUCACUUUGCGUAAAAAUUCUGAUAUAGUUGUUGCCUGAAUAGAUUUAUCAUUGAAGUCUUAUGAACCUUAUUAUAAGCUUUUCUAAGUUAAUUUUGAUGGUCAAAUACUUUCUACUCUUUCCUAUAAACCCCACCUAUUCUGGUGUAAUAAGCUUAGGAAUCACUACUUUGAUUCUAUUACCUAUAACUUUUAUAACCAGUUUGUAAAGAACAGAACAGAGACUGAUAGGUCGGAAUUGCGAGAUCUCUUCAUGCUGAGAAGUCUUUGAGAUAAGAACAAUGAGUGUAUUGUUUAAUUCUGGAUCAAUAGGCUUGCCUUUGAAAACUUCCUUAACCCAGCCAUAGAUUGUGCUCCCAAUGCUAUCCCAUUGGUUCUGAAAGAAUAUAGCAUGGUAGCCAUCACUACCAAGAGCUUUUAAUAGGGCUAUGUCAAAAGUGCUAUUUUAAUUUCAUCGUUUGAGACUGCUUUCUUUAGAAAGUCGAUGUCACUCUGCUCCAGUUGAAGAAAACGACUGACGGGCAAGUCCCCUAUCCCACUUGGUUUCUCCCCAUACAGCUGUUGAAAGUAGUUUACUGCUUCAAGUUGGAUUUCCUCUGGGUCGUAAAACCAUUCCCCGUUUCUAUUACGUAAGGCAUUAAUGCAUUUUACUUUCCUUCUAUGCAAUGUAUGACUAUGAAAAAACUUCGUGUUUCUAUCUCCCAUUUUGAGCCAAUCGCACAUCGACUUUUGCUUCCAGAGCAAUUCUUCAUGGUUAAGUACCUCCUCAAGUUCCUCUCUUAUGUCCAUCUCCUUUUCAAUUACCGACUCUGAGUUUGACCUCUCUAUUUCCUUCUGAAUAUGACUUAAGAACUGUAGAAGUUUUCGUUUGUGCAUCCCAAUGUGUUCGUAUACAUUCUUAUUCCACUCUUUUAGCCCUGCCGUGAGGUUUCUUAAAGUUUUUGACAUAUCUCCACUAUAACGCCACAUAUCAUUAACAACACUUGAGAAAUUUUGAUGUUGUGUCCACCCAGCCGAAAACAAAAUGGGCGUCCUUUUGGUAGAUUAUUUUAUAUUUUAAAUUCAAUACAGCUACAAUUUUUUAAUGAAAAUAUUUUUUAUAAUUUCAAAAAUAAAUUUUCAAUUUUUUUAUAAAAUUUGUAUAUUAUUAGAAACUUUUUAAAUUUUUUUUUUGAAAUCAUCGUCAAAGAUUUUUAAAAUGAACGCCCAAAUUAGGUAUUAACAUUAUAUAAAACAAGCCAUAUGAUCGUUUUGUUAAGGACUAGAAUAUUUAACAAACAAGUGAUCAAAAUUUAGUCACGUUUUUUAAUUUUUUAUAGCUUAGUGGCCGAAACGAAAACAAAGUAAUAGUUGGGUGAUGCUGAUGUAAUUUACCCAUGUUUCUUUUUGGUACAUGAAUAAUUGCAUCAUAAUGAGAGGUGUUCACGUAGUGGAACGGAACCAUGUCAAGUCAAAGUGUCUUUUUCGUUGAAUUCAAAGCAUAAUUACUUAAUAAUCAUGUUAUUUCCGCAUGUGUUAGAAUUAAUUAACUAAUCAUACCAAGUGAUAUAAUCCUCUUAAGCUUGCUUGGAACAUGACAAACAGGGUAGUUAGUACAAGGUUGUUCCAAUCAGCACUUUCCCGUUUUGCCAUUUUCAGAAAAACACAAAAUGAAAAAUCAAAUUAAUGCAGGACAAAGAAAAAUCAAAUUUAUUUAUGUUUGAUGUUGGAUUGGGGUAUUUGUUUCUUGUUUGUCUUAUUAGAAAAUAUACUUUUUGUAUUUCUAAGGCAAAGUUAGAGAAUGAAGGUUUUUCAUUAAAAAAACAAUGUGGAUUUGCUCAUCAAAAUGAAACAAAAUUAAGGUUCUCCUUUUUUAGAGGUUGUUAGGAAUUUGAGAUUAUUUUAAUUAUACAAUAAUAUUUAAUACGCGUUUAACUAAAAAAUAUAAAUUAAUUAAUGCUUUGUUUGGACAACAUAUUGUUAAUUACAUUUUCUUAUAAUUUGAUGACGAGCUAAGUGUUAUUAUAUCGCAAUUUUCUAUUUUAUUUUUGAUAGUACAAUUUGUAAUUAUAUAAUUAUACAAUUUAUAUAUUUUUUUAAAAUUAAUUACUAUAAAAUAAACAAAAUCUGAUAAAAAAAAUUCUAAACAAGUAACAAAAAUUAAUAUCAAAUAACCAUAUAUAAUAUGCUAAUCCAAGAACAUAAUCAAUAACACGAUUACUAAAAAAAUUGAACAUUAUAUGCAAUUUCAUGUAAUUGCUCUAGCGUUUCAUAUUGUUGGUCUAUCCGCUCUUUAACAUUUAACAUAUAUUACAUUACUCAUUAUCAUCAUCUAUUAAUUGUCUCAUUGAGAUUGCAUAGACCUCUUUUUUUUUUCUUGUACUCUUCAAAGUAUGAAUAUCUCAAUUCUACCUAUGAAUGAGGUUACGAAGUAUGUAACAUGCUAGUACAAUCCAACUUUGUUUUUUUAUGCUCUACUAAGAUGAUUUUUUUUUUAGAAUUACUAAGGUGAUAUUGUUAAUAUGAGAAAUUUUUUUAGAACAACAAAUAUCCUCUAAACCACAUUUCGAAUGUUUAAAUGUCUCCAAUUAUCUCAACCACUUUUCAAAUGUUUAAAUGUCUCGAAUUAAAGAACUCGCAAGCCAUCUCUGGUGCUUGUGUUUGACUUCAUCCUUUUAAAAGAUAUUGUACCCCACAAUAUGGUACAAGAAAAUCUUACAUCUACUACAUAAUAUUUGUGUUCACGAUGCAAAUAAUAUAUAUAGCUUCCAUUAUAAAAACCUAAUUUAGAGAAAGACUUUUGCUAGUUAUAACCCUUUUUAUAUUAUGUAAAUUACUUUUUUUAUUUGAAAUUUAAUCUUACUUUUAUUUCUAGAAGUUUAGACUCUUUACUUUUUUAUUUUAAAAUUUAAACUCAAUUUUUAAUAUUGCUAAAUUUUUUAGUAAAAUAUUUUGAACUAAAAAAAUCCAUUUGAUAAUUAUCGAACAAAAAAUAAUAUUGUAAUGAACCUAAAUUUAAUAAAAGAAUUUUAACAGAAGUUCACUUUUAAAUUCAAAAAGUAGAAAAAUUAAAUUUUUUUUAAAAUAAAAGUACAAAGACUAAAUUCCAAGUGUAUAAAGAAUGUAGAAACUUAAAGCGCAUUUUAACAAUUAAGCUAUGCACUUAAAACUAAUUUAAUUUUACUUUUUUUUUUCUAUUAUUCUCAUAUAUUUAAUUUCACUGCUAUAUUUUAAAUUUUUAACGAAAAACAUUUAACUAUUGAUCUAAUAUAAAAAACUAUUAAAUAUUUGGUACACUAUUAAUGAAGUUUUUAGACUUCACAAGCAAUGUUAUGGGUUGAUAAGUGUCAUAUAGGAGUAUAAUAAAAUAUCAAAAAUAAGUAUUUUUAAAGAAAAGAGACGUGACAAAUUUUUAAGAAUACUUAUGGGAAAAAAAAUACGCUGCCAAUGCAUCAAAUACAAACCCUUAAAAUAUAUAUUAAAAAUAAGAAAAUUAAUCAAGAAGUGUCCUACAGGAAUAUAAAUAUUAAAAUGAAUAAAUAUUAAAAAAAAGACACAUAUCAAAUUUUUAAAACUAUUUGUAGAAUAAAAAAGAUACUACUAGUAUACCAAAUUAUCACCCUAAAAAUAAAUAUGGAUAUAACAAAAAUGAAUUUAUUUUUUACUUGUAUAAAAAUGCAAUAAUUAAUAGUAAACAAAAUUAUUAAACUAUUAGAUUACAACGAGGUAGAAAUAAAUAUAAUAUAUUUACAUUAUAUAUAUUGAUAAUGUAGAAUUGAAGUGUUAGUAUUGAUGCACUCAUUAGAAGGACGUGCCUGCAUUAUACACAUACAUAUUAUAUCUAAAGAGAGUUGUUUAAACUCAAGUAAAUUUAAUGGGUGGAUAACAAUCAAAUCAAUCAAAAGAGUUUCAAUAUAUAUAAUAUGAAAGAAAUUUUGUUGAAAUAGCAAAAUUGAGGAUUUGAAAAUUUUAAUAUUUUAAAUUAUUUUUAAAAUUUUUCUUUGAUGGAUUGAUUAAUUCACUAAUUAAUUAGCUCUUUGCAUAAACAAAUGAUUUUUAUUACCUUUAAAGCUUCUUCUAGACAUUGCACACACAAAAAGGAGCGCUUCUUCUAGACUAGAGGGCCCUACAAUUACUACCUUUUUCUAGAUUUGUAGGUCAAGUAGUUACUUUUCAGUUUUAUUGGCCAAGGAAGGCAUAGGGAUAACCUUAUCCUUAUUCUUUCCUCCCCCUUUGCUUUUGAGUUCAGUUACUUCUCUUUGUCUUCCUACACUUCCCUUUCCCUUUUAACGAACCUUCGCCCCAACUUUCCUUAUGCCCAAACGUCUACUCACUAUACCGAGUAGCGUCAUUAUUUUUAAAAUAAAAAAUAAAAUAAAUUGCACAUGGGAAAAAAAGGUAGAAAGUCAAAUCAGCGUCAAAGGCCACCGCGUUCACACAUGCCCUUCCCACGCGCUUCUCCUUUCUAGCUAACCGUGUGCGCUGAUACGUAUAUAAAGUAAACCCAAAGCCCUCCGUUCCCAUCUCCAAUUUCAGAUCAUCACACUUGCCUUUUUCCCAUUUCGUCAAUCGCGGCAUUCAAUCAAAAGAAACCUUUGUUUAGUUACAUGGAAAUCGGGUCUUUCACAUUUCUUUCUCCUGAAGAUUUUUCUUUUAACAACAACUACAACAGCGAUUUCUCUUGGUUUUUGGAUAUGGAAACUGGGUUCAACGGAAACACCAAGAAGAGGGGUAGAAAAGACUUUGAGGAAUCUCUUGUCAGCGAAAAGAGUGGGUUUGGUGAUAUACUUUCCUCGAUUUUGAUGUUGGAUGAGGAAGCAAAGCAAGAGCAGUAUCAAUGGGUGACUAACCCUGAUCAAGAUAGAGCUUUCUUCCAAGCCAAUUACAAGGGAAAUGUUCAGGAAAUGAAUGGGUAUUUUGAAAACCAGUUUUCUGAAAUGAACCAGUUGGAUAAUUCCAGUAACAAACGCGCCCGCAAAUCUGGUUCACCCGCUGCGGCUGCGACGGUUUCAGCCGGGUCCGAUAAUGUGGGUCCAUCGCAAUCGGGCAGCGGAUCCGGACAGCAAAGGCGGUUAUGGGUAAAAGACCGAUCCAAGGACUGGUGGACUAAGUGUAACCACCCAGAUUUCCCCGAUGAGGAGUUUAAACGCGCUUUCCGUAUGAGCAAAGCCACAUUCAAUAUGGUCUGCGAGGAGCUCGAACCUGCAGUUAUGAAAAAGAACACUAUGCUUCGAGAUGCGAUCCCAGUUCGUCAGCGCGUGGCGGUUUGUAUUUGGAGGUUGGCCACGGGUGAACCGCUUCGGAUGGUAUCGAAGCGCUUCGGGUUGGGGAUUUCAACUUGUCAUAAGCUGGUUCUAGAGGUUUGUGCCGCAAUUAAAACUGUUUUAAUGCCCAAAUUCGUUCAAUGGCCUGACGAAAGCAAAAUGAAGAGUAUCAAACAAGCAUUCGAGUCCGCUGCUGGGAUCCCCAACGUGGGCGGUUCAAUGUACACUACUCACGUUCCCAUCAUUGCACCAAAAGUCAGCGUCGCGGCGUAUUUCAACAAAAAACACACGGAGAGGAACCAGAAAAAUUCAUAUUCCAUUACCCUUCAAGGCGUUGUCGACCAAACCGGAGCUUUCACCGACAUAUGUAUUGGGUGGCCCGGUUCGAUGUCCGAUGAUCAAAUUUUAGAGAAAUCAGCGUUUCACCAAAGAGCCACAAGGGGACAUUUGAAGGACGUUUGCGUCGUAGGCAACAAAGGGUACCCAUUAAUGGACUGGGUUUUGGUUCCUUACAGCCACCAAAACCUCACUUGGGCUCAACAUGCUUUCAAUGAGAAAAUCGGGGAGAUUGAAAAGGUGGCCAAGGAGGCAUUCGCGAGGCUGAAAGGGCGGUGGUCGUGUUUACAAAAGAGAACCGAGGUUAAGCUUCAAGAGUUGCCGAUCGUGCUUGGAGCUUGCUGCGUUUUGCAUAAUAUCUGUGAGAUGAGAAACGAGGUGAUGGAUCCGGAGCUUAAAUUCGAGCUUUUCGACGAUGAGGUCAUCCCUGAUAAUAAUAUAAGGUCCAUGGCUUCCGCACAAGCUAGAGAUCACAUCGCUCACAAUUUGUUGCACCAUGGGCUUGGCGGCCGUGGUACAUCUUCCACUGCUUUUCUAUAGUGUUGAUUUAGGAAUCUUUUCUGUAGUUUGCUUGUUAUUCUUUUGGGGUAUGGCAAUAAAGAUUAUUCCUGAUUUAAUUUCUAUUUAUGGAUUUGCCAACAUUUUUCUAUUUACUUUUUUAAAAAAUUGAAAUUUGUGACUAGAGUGUAUGCUAAGCUAAAUUAAUGUGUUCAAAAUUCGGGUAAAACUGAAAAAAUUCGGUUAACCGAAUUUGGUUAAUCGGUUGGUUAAUUAAAUUUUUUCGGUCGGAGGUCGGUUAAUUAUUUUUUAAUUUUUCCGUUAACAGUUAAUUCGAUUCGAAACUGGUCGAUUAACCGAUUUUUUUAGAUUUAACUGAAAAAAUUAAUAAAUAAAAUUAUAAUAUAUAAAUAUGCCCACUAUUCACCUAAACUCAAGUCUUCUUAAUUUUAUUCCUCGUGGAUCAAGUGAAGUGUAAAUAUUUUUGGCAUUCAAGUCUGCUUAAUAACAAUCCAUUCCUUGACAGUGGUGUAAUUAAAUAGGUGUCAGGCUGUCAGCUAGCGGAACCGCAUAUUUUAGGUAACUUUUAAUAUAAUUCUUUUAAAUGAUUUUGGUGAUUUUUAAUAUAAUGUAAAAAUUGUUGGUAAUAAUUUUGAUAGUAUUUAUUUAGUUUUGGUAAUACUUUCAAAAAAAAAAAAACCUUAGCAAAAAAAAUAGAUUUAAUUUUAUUAACACUUAAUAUGAGUUUGCAUUCAAUAUGUUCAAUUUGCCAUCCGAGUUUUUUUAUCCUUGUUAAAUAUUUGAAUUUGAUUAUAAUAUUUAAUUUGGUAUUUGAAUUUUUUUAUCUUUAUUAAGUAUCUGUAUUUUUUAUUAGAGCAUACAUGUCAAACAUUCAUCGAGUCACAUAAUGAUUUUUUGUCUGGACACUAAAUUAAACAUUAAAGUCAAAAAUAAAUACCGAAUUGAGACAAAAGAAACUAAAGUACCAAAUUGAAAGUGUGAAUUGGUAUAUUAUCGCUUAGUGUGUGUGGGCCUUGUGGGGUGGCCGAGCUGAACAAGUCAGAUUGCAAAAUGGACCUCGGACGCCUUUAUACAAAAAAUAGAGAAGACUAAGCUAAGCUGAGCUAAACUGAGUUGAUGAAGUUUCAUGAUUGGAUAUGAAAAAUUAUUGCAUUUACUAUGAGAAUGAUUAUUUAUAUUACCAUUACAAUUACAUGAUGGCUGAUUAAUUCACAUCCAACUAACUUUUUUUAUUAAUAGCCUUUAAUUUAUCUUAAUUAUUUUUUCUUUUUAUAUCAAAUUGCAAAAAUUUCUCACCUUUAAAUAUUUUCGUUUCAUCUAAAUUUAGCAAUUUUGUCAACAUUUUUAAAUAUUUUCUUUAAUCAAAAUGAAUCUAGUGUUUUAUUUUGAAACUUGUUUAUAUUAAUAUAAAAAUGAUUUGAAUAGAGUUAUAAUUAACUAAAGACAAUAAUUUACUCAAUAUAAUAAAAAUAAUAUUUAAGGCACUAGUCAAUAAAAUAAUCCAAUUAAAUUUCACAAAGAGAAAGACAAGUCCACGAGGCACAAGCUGUCUUAGGUUAGGAGCCGGCUCAACAUAUUUUCUUUUUGUUAUUACCCAAAAACUCCCGUUCAGAAACUCGACAUCUUUGCAUCCCAAGGACAACGAACCAUGGGCAUAAUAGUCAUUUAACUGAACCAGAUUUCAUUGCCGAUCAAAAUACAGGCUCGCUUUCCACCUCCAUGGCCAUGUACGAACUUUCCACUUUCAGUUUUGAGCUUGGAAUCAAUCACGUAAACCAAAAUCGUGUCCCUAAUUUAAACCAUCUAAUUAGCUUGCUAAAAAAUUACACCCUCCUUCGUCACCUCUUCUCGCGAUUCAUCGAAGGUAGAUUUCUACUCACAUUCUUGAUUGCAAGCUCUAGGGUUUUCUUUUUUCUACUUUCUUGAUCAAUUUAUUUUUUUGUUUCUUUGAUUGAGUUUCUAUUUCAGUUUUAUUUUCUAAUUUUCGUUUUGGUUUAAUUGUUAGGGGUUUCUGCAUAUUUGUAUUAGUAUUUUAUUUUUUAUUUUGUUCAAUUGCUGAGGUUCGACGAAUGAAGUAGGAUUGAGAUGUAAACUUGAGGAAGUAGAGGAUAAAUUGGUAAUUUUUGAGCUUAAACUGGCUUUACUGUGUUAAAUGGAGCAUUUCAUUUGAUGAAAUUGGAUUUUGUUGAUUAGUCAAAAAAAAAUGAAGAAACAUUGAGGAAUUUAACUGAGAUAAUAUUUUGUCUCGCUUUUUCUCGUCUGAUUCAAUCUUGGCUUGGAUUUAAUUGAAGUAAGGAAAGUGAAGUUGAAGGCAAUUAUUCGUAUCCUUGUGCCAUGGUAAAAAAUGCUAGGAACACAAGAGCAACGAUUAGGGAAUAAUUCAAAUGGGAAUGCUUUCUUACCGUCUACUAUGAUCUAUAAGUAUCCUCCCUUUGAGAUCACAUUGAGUUCAGCGAGUUAAGUAGUCUUGGUUAUCUUAAGUUAUAAUCUCGGUGAGAUUGAUAUUUAAUUUAUUGUUAUAUAUUAUAUAUCUUUUUAGUCUGUUGCUCAGCUGGAGGUAUAGUAAAAUAAAUGGUAGUGUUCUUCUGCUCGAGUUUGGUUAUUUUGCUGAAAUUUAUUUGUUGGGCUAACUUUUUUGAACUAUGAUUCUAUCUUAAGUUAUAAUGUGUUAAUGAUAUGGUUGUAAAAGGUUUUUCCACACAUAAACCCUGAUUUCUAUCUUUAUAUCAAUCUCUGAUUCAUGAUUCUGAUUCUGAUAUGUUUGUUUUAUUAAAUUUGUGCUGCAGAGAUGGGCAAACAGCCUUAGUAGCAACUUUUGUUUUGUUGCAUGAGAGGUGAUUUACAUAAAGGAGUUAUACAGUUUAGAAACUUAUUUAAAUAAAAGGUAAAUUGAAUUGGUGGUUCAAUCAUGAUUUUACAUUCAUAUGGGUUUUACUGGCAAGUGCCUUAAGUAAACUAUUAUAGUAGAUUAUUUAUUUUAAAUGUAGUAGUUGACUAUUAAUGAAAUGAAUUCCGAUGCAUUGGAGAAAAUAUUACGUAAUAUGAUAACAUUUUUUUUGAAAGUUAAUAUGAUAACAUUGAAGUGUGUCCUUUGGGGACCUUUUUACAAAAGCCUAUUUAUAUUCAAGGCAUUUUAUGUUAUAUUAGUUUGUCUUUAAUUAUUUACUGAGUGUGAGGCUUGUAGAAUACCCUAAAUAUCUAAUUGAUCUUAGUUCUCUGUAGCUUUUGAUUAUUGAGUUAGUGAAGUUAUUGUGUGAUUCAGAGCAUUGGGUAUUGCUUAGAAUUUCUAGUUGAUUGUAUACAUGUGCCACUUGCUAGCCGUUAUAAAGUCAGGCUAAAUUUUAGGAUCACUAAUCUAUUUAAAGUUAGGAUUGAAAAUCAUUUAAUUUGCAAUCUGUAAGACACUUAUAGAUGAAUAUAGCAUAAAAAAAUUGAUCCUCAUAUAUGAGGGGAAUAGAUGAGUAGAUUUUGAAUUUGACUUGCUGCAUGCAGUAAUUCUGUAGCUAAGGAGCGAAAAGGUGCUCUAAUAAGUUCUGUGCUGGUUUAUACAUAUAUUUGAAAUGCCAGUUAGCAGAAGACUGAAAAGUUACCUGGAAGAAAAAAUGAACGUAUCUGUUGGAAGUUAGAGGUUCAACAACCGAAAACUUGACUAUUCAAUGUUUUGAAAAGAAUGUAACCAUGCCCCAUGAAUAUCCAUAAGCUCCAGUGACGUUGCAUAGGGGUUGUUUUCAUUCUACCUGAGGCCACCAAUGCGACUGGAAGAAGCUAAAAUAAAUUCUGGUAGCGGUAGAUGUGGACUGACCACUGAGAUGAAUAUUUAUCUGAAAUGUUUUGUAGGAUGUUUAUCUACUAGGAAAAUAUAUUUGUUGAUGAAUUUUCAGACUAUGAAAUCUGAAGAAAGAAAGACCUUCUUGUAAAGGGUCGAUCUUUUAUGAGAUUACUAUUUUCUCGUCCACUAUUCAUGCUUGGGCUUUGGGCUUUUGCUCAAACUAUUAUGAGUCUCAUUCAAUUGACAUUAUCUUUUUGUGACAGCCAUUUGUACUAGAUUUGUUGUCACCUUUGUUUUCUGAAGGUUUCCUUUUUGUUGUUGCUGUCUACUUGUAUUCACUGCUUUCAUUUAUUGCAUUUAUUUGAGGUGCCUUUGCUAUGUUACUUUUUCAACUAUAUAUAUAAAUCUCUAUAUUUACUAUGCAUCCAUAAAUUAUCUGGUCAUUAUUGAUUUAGUCAUGAAAUUGAUUGAUUUUCAACAUGAAUUGAAAAAGUAAAUUCAAGCUACUGGAGUACCCUUCUCUAACCUUUGGGAACCGCUUUCUUGUAACGAGACAGUAAAAAGAUUAAUGGUACUCGCUGUGGAAGGUGACCAAUGUCAUCUUAGUUCCAUGGUCUCUGAAUUUCUUUAUAACUACUAUUGAUUAUUUAUGACUUAACUUUAAUCUGCUACUUCUAGUUGUAUUUUCUGUGUGUGCAUUAAGCAUAGAACAGUGUGUAUUUUGAGGUAGUAUUGAAUUGAUUUGUUCUAAUAGAUAAUUUACAUGCUUAUCCUUAGUUUUUUUCUCCUUUGCAGAUUAGUAGUCUGUUAAGAGUUUAAAUCAGCCUUUAUGUGCUAUUGUUCUACAAUAUUGUAAUGCACCGCUGUAUUUAUUGGCCUUAUAAAAUUGUGGAUUUGCAAAAUCUGAUGCAAUGGCGAUGUCCAGCAAGUCUGAUCUGUCUUCUGGUAGCCCAGACAGGCCACUGUAUACCAGUGGGCAGCGUGGAGCCCUCUUAGCUGCUCAAUUAGACAGAUCUGGUAGCUUUCGUGAGACCAUGGAGAAUCAGAUUCUAUCUUCUCUUCCAAGCAUGUCAAGAAGCAGUUCAGUAGCAGCCCAAGGAGAUGUAUCCAGCUUCUUCCAGUGCUUGCGUUUUGAUCCCAAGGUGGUUGCUGCUGAUCAUAAGUCUAAUCGUCAAGGAGACUUUAAACGGCACAUUAAUGUUGCUCUUGGAAUUUCUGCUGAUGAAUCUACUACCAUGUUGUCAAAAGGCAAGCUGCUGCCUUCUCCUAUUCCAGAAGAAAUCAAACGAGUUAAGACUGGUCUACGUGAUUGUUCAGUCAAAGCAAGGUAUUCUUUAUAAAUUUUGCAUUUUAGAUCGAAGUUGUCAUUAGUUAUUAAAGUGAAUCAGUUAACAGGGAGCGCGUGAAAACUUUCAAUGAAGCCUUAUCAGUAUUCAACAAGUUUUUCCCUAGCAUACCAUCUAAGAAGCGAUCUCGAUCAGAAAGCUUUUCUAAUGACCGGCCUAAUGCCUUGUUAUCUGGUGAUCGGUCAGUCUUGGGCCCUACCAUUGGUAAGAUGGGAAUGCAUAAUAACUCUGUUGCUGGAGGUUUUGAAUUUGAACAGCAGAAGUCUGAGGAAAGGCCUAAAAGUACUAUUCCAAAUAAACGUACUCGGACUUCGUUGGUGGAUGUGAGGGUUUGUAUCUUUGAUAUCUUCCAUCUCUAUUCAUUUCUGUCUUGUUAAUAUUAUGAUUCCAUAUCUGUUAUUAGGCCUGAUAUAAGUUGUUCGUAAACUUACUCAAUGGCUAUUUUAUUUCAUGUGCCAUAUUCAAGUUUGAUCGGGUUCAAAAAGUGCCAAGUCCAAAUGUAAUUAUUGUUGUCACUACUGCUUCUCUUAUUUCUUCUCUCUGGUGUUUCCUUCAUUUUUCUAUGCUAGUAGUUGAUUCUUUUCCAUUUGUCACUGAACCCAAACCACACUUCUUUCUUUUGAUCCAACUUGUGGUGGUGGGUGGUUUGUUCUCUUUAAUCUUCCUGUUCAAUUGAUUUCCUUUGCAUUUCAAUCAUUAAGUUAGUACGUAAGUGAGCUCUAGGAAACCUGUUUUCUGUUACAAGAAUCUUCAUAACUUUCUCUUUUACACAAGCAGUAAAAUCUAUAUGGUUUUACAUCUCAUAUUCUUACACUUCUGCAUAGUUGUUAUAUCUUUGGUCUCAUCUUGGUGGCUUGGUGCCCAAUUUGCAUGUGGCUCUCCUUUUUUUGCAUUAGUAUCUCCUGAAGAGAAGAAUUGACAUUUGUUCUAAUGAAUCUAGAUGGAUAUGCGGAAUAAUGCUCUAGUCAGGCAGCCUGGUAAUGCUGAUAGAGAUAAGGAAAUGCUCAGGGUUUCAAAUAGUGGCUCAGUUCAGGGUGAAGAUCGAACUUUAUCAGGCAGUGUUGAUGGAUGGGAAAAGACAAAGAUGAAGAAAAAACGUUCUGGGAUAAAACCUGAUGUAUCUCCAAGUAUGGUAUCAACUAAACUUGAAGGGUAUCGAGAAUCUAAACAGGGAAUACAGCAAAGGGCUAUUUCUGAUGCUCGAUCAAGGUUAAGUAAUGACUCCCAUGGGUUCAGGUAGGUCUGCUGAAAGUACUAUUAUUGUGCAUAUGCCAAAUGGUUAUUAUUUGAAUCUAUUUUUCUUCGGCUCUUCAUUUUUGUUGAAUUACUUGUGUCUGAGUCCAUAUAGGGAUAGGACCUCCAAGGAUCCUACAAAUAUAUGGAAAAAAUUAGAAAAAAUUGACUAUACCCAUGUUAGACAAGUACCUGUGUCUGACACACUCAACUUUGAGUAACAUAGAUCUGAAUGCUUGCCUUAAUAAAAUCGGUUAAGUGCAUGCACAUGGGGUGCUUGGAGGAGAACCACCCUUGAGUAUUUUAAAUUUCAUGCUUGUUUUCAUUCGAAGAUUUUACUGUAACUUUAUGUUUUGGUCACUCAACUUGAAAAAAUUACAAAAUGGUCACUGAACUAUUCCGAAGUUUUCAUUUAAGUAUCCGGGCUGUUAUAAUUACUGCUGCAUUAGUAACUUUAUGUUUUGGUCACUCAACUUGAAAAUGUUACUCACUGAACUAUUCAGAAGUUUUCAUUUAAGUCACAGGGCUGUUAUAAUCGCUGCUGCAUGGCCUUCUUUGUUUGCACUGCCUGAACCAAUCGACUUGAAUAUAAGGCGUGUUCAUGGGUAUUGAUCCAUCGUACUGAUAGUCAAAUCGUUGCUUAGAACUUGUUAGUUGGACUUUCUUUUUUUAAAAAAUAAACAACCCAGUGACUUAAAUAAAAACUUUCGAAUAGUUUAGUGACUUAGAAAAGUUUCAAAUAGUUCAGUAACUAUUUUGUAACUUUUUGAAGUUAAGUGACCAAAACGUAAACUUACUAAUAGUUUUAAGUGGUGAGAUAUGAACCUUUGAUCACUUACCUUUGCAUUAUUGGCUAAAGCAUUGAGUCAAAUCCAUUAUUUUGUUAAAUAUUUACUAUAUUCAGUACUUAUUCAAAAUCAUGCUUCUGAUUGUAGUAACCCUCUUUGAUUGGAUCGCCUAGUUGAAGUGGUUGAAUCUAGGGCCACAUCAGUUCAACAUCCUGUGUGGUUUUAAAAAAUUGACUUGAUUCCAACAGAUUAUAAUCAAUACUUCCAGUCCACUGCCAUGAGAUUUGUGGGAAUAAGGGGCUUGAAUCAUAAUAAUGAUUGUGUUAGCAGGUUUUGUCAGUAUUCUGUUAUAACAUAAUUUAUCAGCUGGAAAUGCUAUCUUUCUUCAUCUUUGUUUUUAUUUGCUAUGCUGUGGAGGAUAUACUGAAUUAUAGAUGUCAAGCUUAUAUUUUAAGCUUCCGAGGUUCCUUUUGAUCCCCCUUCCAGUUGUAUAUUUAUUUUUGAGUUUCUGUUUUAUUUUUAGCAUGGUGUUAAUGAUAGUGCUGGGGUGAGUGACUAUAUUUUUGGUAAGCCUAUGUUCUUUCUUUCAUGUUCAUUUAUCUGUUGUAGCCACACUUUGUAUCCUAUGCUCUAUUGUCCUUAUUUGGCAUGCUGUUUUGGUUCAGAUCUAACAUGAUCUGGGGGGUUAGAUUAAGCUGAGUUGCUUAUGCCUUUAGUGCAUAGGACAUCUAAACUAACACCUUAAAUGUGCAUUUACAGUUGCAAAUAUUUGAUGUCAGAGCCACUAAAUUUUCUGAACUGUGUUUUAGAUCUGAACAGUAAACCAUAUGAUUUAAACCAUUUUGAAAAAUAAUGCUUGAGAGGUAACUUCAAUCUUGAUUUGACUUAUCUUCUGAUUAAGAUCCAUGUGUAUGAUUUUCAGAUGCAUAAAGAAAGAAAUCUUAUUAGGGCCUUUGCUACAUUAUAGCGAGAUGUAAUUUCCUUAAUAGAUGAUCAUAAUGGUGGCUGUAUGGAAAUUUAUUAGGGAUUUUCUUGUUUGAAAAUUUCUUCAAACCUUCUACUCGGAACAUUUUGUGAAUUGAACCUUCGUUUUCGUUUAUUUUUAACAUUUUGAUGUAUCGUAUUCUUGAUUUUCUUUUAAUAACUAUAAAUUGUUAUAGGUCAGGAAUUGCUAAUGGAUCUGUUGGGGUUGGAAAACCUGAAGGCAUCUCACAGCAGUCAGGCUUGGGUCCAAGGUCAUCUGUUCCUAGGACUGACCCGGACACUAUUUCCCUUCUCAAUGAUAGGAGGGACCGUACUGUUGCUUCUGAUAAAGAGAGAGUGAAUCUCAGAGUCUCUAACAAGUAUGCUUAUUUUCUUGAUGAAUAUUUUGUUUUCCAUUUUUUAGCGUAAAUUUCUCUGUACAAUUUGCAUUUUAUAGAGCCUUUGUUUUUGUCAUUUGGGGCAUCUUUAUUUGAGGCACUUGGAGUACUUUUCCUUUUUGGGCCAUACUGCUGUAUGCAUACUUAUUUGUAUAUCCUUUCUUCUGUACAAUGAGCAGGAUGAGUGUUCGUGAUGAAUUUAAUUCAGCCAGUCCUACUUCAAGCACAAAAAUGAAUGCAUCUAUUCGUGGUCCACGAUCAGGCACUGGAGUUGCACCAAAGUUGUCACCAGUCGUUCAUAGAGCAACAGCAUCAAAUGACUGGGAGCUUUCUCACUGUACAAAUAAACCACCUACUGCUGGUGGAGCUACUAAUCGCAAGCGCACAGCAUCAGCUCGGUCUUCAUCACCACCUGUUGCCCAUUGGGCCAGCCAGAGACCACAGAAGAGCUCCCGUACUGCAAGACGAUCAAAUAUUGUUCCUUUUGUUUCAAAUAAUGAUGAAACUCCAUUGGAUACUGUGUCUGAUAUGGCCGGUAAUGAGAUUGGAUCAGGAUUUGCUAGACGCUUCUCAAGCAGUUCUCCACAACAAAUUAAACUAAAAGGUGAUGCCUUAUCUUCGGCUACUCUUUCUGAGAGUGAGGAGUCUGGGGCUGCUGAAAUUAAAUCUAAAGAAAAGGUGAAAAAGUCUGAUGAAAUAGAUGAGAAAUCUGGACAGAAUGUUCAGAAAGUAUCCACAUUGGUCUUGUCAUCAAGAAAGAAUAAGCUGAUGACUGGAGAAGAUAUUGGAGAUGGUGUGCGUCGACAAGGGAGGACUGGACGGGGUAUUACUUCUACAAGGUCUCUUAUGUCAAUGACAGUUGAGAAGUUUGGCAAUGUGAGAACAGCAAAGCAGCUUAGAAGUGCCAGGCUCAGCUUGGAUAAGACUGAAAGGUUAAAAUUUUCCUUCCUACAUGACCACAUGAUACCUUCUCUCCAAUAAUAUUUCUUUUAUUGUGGUCUAGAACUGUUAUUCUUUGUGAUUGAAAUCUCAUAGUUUCAUGAAUAUUCUCUCAGCAAGGCUGGUCGUCCUCCAACUAGGAAGCUCACUGAUCGCAAGGCCUAUUCACGCCAGAAGCAUGCGGCAAUGAAUGCAGCUGCAGAUGUUCUUGGUAGUUACACUUAAAACUAAGAAAUUUACUUGGAUUUUAAAAUAUCCACUCUUAACAAAAUUUUCUGAAGUUCUAAAUCUAUGAUUACAUAUACAUGGCUUCUAACUGCCUUUGGUACAUUUUUUUAGUUGGUUCGGAGGACGUGCAUGAAGAGAUAGUAGCUGCUGUAAAUGCUCUUGUUGGUUCUGGUAGUGUCUUCUGAAAUAUUUGGUCAUUUUUUUUGUUUAAGUUUUGGAUUCCUUUUUUUAUUUGGUUUGAAAUUUCUACUCGCAUUGGUUGAUUUUACUUGCAUUGCAGCCCAUGCAUUUCCCAACUCCUUUUGGAGGCAGAUGGAGCCUUUUCUUGGUUUCAUAUCUGAUGCAGAUAUUGCCUAUUUGAAGCAGCAGGUACCAGAACCCUUUAAUAUAUUCCCUUUUUAAGGAAUAAAAAAAUCAUGGGAAAAUAUCAUUGGAUUAAAUAUUUAUUGAAAUGCUUAAUAUGAAUUAGUGGUUGCAAUUUAUGUUUCUUUUUGGCCACGGUGGGUGAAAUUUUUCAACUAGGUAGGGGAGAGGGGAAUUGAACUUAAACCUUUAUCCUCCAUUUCCUCUAGGAGAGGCAUGGGUUCUUGCCUUUAUUUAUGUUGUUAUCAAGUUUUGAACAAAGGCAUGAGAUAAAUAAGUUCCUCUUGACUUGCUGAUUUAUGUUAGGCAUUGAUGGCUAACCAUGUGAUUAAUUUUCAAGAAUUCAUCUCUUAUUUUAUUUUGUUAUGCAAUCCCAAAGUUACCUUUUCAAAAUUACUUAUUUAACAUUAGAUAAUAUGUAUUCUCUUCAACCUCAUCCUUGUAACACUAUCUUUUCUGAAUGCACCUUUUUUCGUGAAUAGUUAGAAGCGCCUUGUUUCUUAUUGAACUUCCAUCAAUUAUUUUUGGUACUCAAAUACAUCAUUUCACAAAUAUUUUGGUCUCUCUAAACUGUUUCAUAUCUUUCAGGGAAAUCAUGAAACAAGACCGGGAUCAACACCCCUUCCUUCUAUUGCAGAUGGUUGUAGUACCAUCUCCAAUGGAUGUGGAUUGCUUGAAAAGGAAAGAGCUGGCAGAAUUGCUGCUGUAACAUCAAAUGAUGAACUCCUUUCACAGCAGUUGCUUUUGGAUAAAAGGGACAAUAAUCUGAUACCCCUCUGUCAGAGAUUUUUAGCAGCUCUAAUUCCAGAAGAAGAUAGUGACAGUGGAAAUGAAGACCUCCAAUUUGACAUCUAUGGAGCUGGAUUUCAGAUGGAUGGAGAAUUGGGAUCUAAUGGUUUGAGACAUAUCGUUAAUUUCCAAUCUCCUGAGCAUGCUUCUUUUAAUGGUUAUAGGACAUCUGGGAAGCCAGAAUGCGAUGAUCCUGAAAUUGAUAUGGUGGGAAAGACAGGAAUUAGCUCAACUUUUAGUCAUUCCCUGAAUGGCACAUUUCUAGACAAACCAAUGCCUGAUAUGGUUUGUUCAGAAUUUGAGUACGAGGGUAUGAAGAUAAAUGAGAAAAUCCUUUUGGAGGCUCAAAGUAUCGGAAUCUUCUUAGAACCAAUGGUUGGUCUACUUCUACAUGAAUAUUUAUAUUAAAUGCUGCAUUAUCCCUAUCUUUUGAUAUUAUUUCAUCCAACAUUUGGCAAUUAUCUCUCUUGCACUCUUUGUUGUUUCAAAAUCAAUAUCAUGAUAUAGCAAUCUGAUCUCCAUUUCCUUCAUUAUCUGAAUGGUUGGUUGUCAAAUAGUGCAUGUAUGUCCACGACAUCUCAUUAUCUCAAAGGGCUUGUUUUUUCUGACUACUGUUAUGCUUGUGUGUCUGGUUUGUUGUAUUUCAGCCUUGACAUUAAGAUUGUUAAUGUAUUUAACUUUACGUAUUUCACUCUUUUUCAGCCUGACAUAACACAGAUUGAUGAUGAUGAAAUCUGUGAGGACGUUAGUAAGCUAGAGGGGAAGCUUGAUGAGCAGGUAGUUUCUCAAAGGAAUCAUUGAGGCUCUAAUAUGUAAUCUUGUAUUUAUAUUAUCUUUUUUCUUCGCAGUAUUGUUUUCACCUGUAAUUUUAUGAUAAUUGCCUUUAGAUAUUCAACGAUUUCUAUAUUUCUUCCAUGCCACGCCACUAUGUUUAAUUGUUGGGCUUUCUAACAUAAGGUUUAAAACUUUUUCUGAGAAGUUCAAUUUAUAAUUUUGAUGUGAAUGCAAUAGGUUUCAAGGAAGAAAGGCUUGCUUGAUAAACUGUUGAAAGCUGCCUCAGAAACAAGAGCAUUUCAGGAGAAGUAUUGUUUAUCCUUUCUCUCCAGAUAGUUUUGUAUUCAUUUUCCUUUUAACAUAAAGUCAUUGGUACCUGGUGUAUGUAUAAACAUAUAAUUUUUUAUAUAGGGAAUUUGAACAACAUGCUCUUGACAAGCUUGUUGCGAUGGCUUAUGAAAAGUACAUGGUAAUUCUCCUAAUAUCCAAUCUCCUUUUCGUUUUGGUUUUCAUUUGGGCACACCAUAAUGAUAAUGUUUAAUAUCUUGAAUGCACAGAACCGAGUCUGUACAAAAGCCCUUUAACAUAAGGAUAUAGAAAACCAAUCUUUAGUCUAGAAUAAAGUCACAGGAUUUCAAGGAAAUAAUUGUCUGGCUGGACUAAAACUAACAAAGCAAGAAAAAAAUGGAAAUGGGCAGGUUGACUAUAUUAUUAACCUUAACUGAGUCAAAGUUGGUGAAAAUCUUCUAUAUCACAGGAGUGAACUACCUCCUAUUGGAUAGUUCAAACUCCUUAAAAUAAUCAGAUAGUGAAGAGACAACAUCUCAAGAUGGGUCCUGAAAAUUCUUUUGGCCGUUAUCUUAGCUCAAGUGGAUAAUGCUUCUCUAGUCCUCCUUAUCUUAUUUCUGGAAUCUGUUUUGACUCUGAGUGUAUGUGGUUGAAAAACUGAGGUAGUGUACUUUCCCCUCCCCCUUCCCAGUAUAUAUGCUUAGACGUUCUCAAGAAUCUAUUAUUUUUUAACCUUGAGUAUCUGGGGUUUGGAUUUUUUUUACAAGCUCUUUGAAUAAUUUGGCCAUCAGAGCUUUAGCUAAUAACUCUUCUGUUCUCUCUUUAGCUACAUAGAUGACAAAGAUAGUUAAAAUGCUAAGAACUGAAUGGGUAGUUGGGGCUUUUUGUUUCUAAAUUUAUAUUAUAAAUGGAAUAUUGUCUCAAGUUUGAGUUUGCUUCUAGUUUUUCUCCCCUCUUAGAUCUUCUUACCAAGGUGGAUAAAUUUGCUUGGUUUUCUCUGUUUAUGUUAUAGCUUUUCAUUUUCCACUGAGAAUUUUUCAGUAUCAUGCUGGUGUUCUAUUUUUGACAAUUUAUCCAUUAUCUUUUAAUAGAGUUGUUGGGGUCCUAAUGCUACUGGUGGGAAGAGUUCCAGUAACAAAAUGAUCAAGCAAGCUGCCUUAGCAUUUGUUAAACGAACAUUAGAUCAAUAUCAUAAAUUUGAAGAUACAGGCAAGAGCUGUUUUGAUGAGCCCUUGCUUAGGGACAUUUUUGUUUCUGGAUCUUCCCGGCUAAAUGGUGCACGACCAGUAGAUACUCCUACAGAUGGCGGCGAAUCUGGGAAGCCAUGUGCUUACAGCUCCACCCAUUCCCUGGAAGGUAGAACUUCAGGUAUUUACUGUGGUGCCUAUGGAAAGACCGAGAGCAUACACUUUAAUUCCUUCAUGUCUAGUUGCGUCUGUUCAUGUGUGUUCCAUCCCAUGUAAUGUAAUCAUCUCUAAGAUGUUCUUCAUUGGUACUUUUUGCUCUGUCUUCUCACACAAAACAACUCUGGCAGGUCAAAGUGGGGAUAGCUAUGCUGUUGAUCUGCUUCCACCCACAAACCGAUUAUCCGACCAAACCACUAUUAAAGAUGACUCAUGGUCUAACAAGGUGAAAAAGAGAGAGUUAUCGCUGGAGGAUGUAGUUGCUGGUACUAUUGGUGCUUCUAGUGUUCAGCCAGGCAUUGGGAGUUCUUUGUCAAGCAGUACAAAAGGAAAGAGGAGUGAGAGAGACAGAGAUGGAAAGGGACUUGGUAGGGAGGUUUUAUCUAGAAAUGGAACUAAUAAGAUUGGUCGACCAGCAUCCAAUGCUAAGGGGGAAAGGAAACUAAAAAUAAAGCCUAAGCAGAAAAUGACUCAACUAUCUGCUUCUGUGAACGGCAUUCUUGGUGAGAUGUCAGAGCACCCCAAACCAUCAACCUCCAUAUCAAAGUCAAAUGAGAUAACUAUCAAUAAUAAUUCCAAAGAAAAAGAUGAUUUUGGCCUGGAUGUACUGGAUGACCUGCAGCUACCAGGACAAGAUUUGGGUUCAUGGUUAAACAUUGACGAUGAUGGAUUACAAGAUCAUGAUUUCAUGGGCCUUGAAAUUCCCAUGGAUGAUCUUUCUGACUUGAAUAUGAUGGUUUGAGUUUGCUUUCUUUGUAUAGUCUUGUUCAUUAUACCGUUGACAAACAAAAACAUAAUCACUGUCAUCAAGAGAUUACUGUUACAUGGAUAGUUGCUUGGCUGUCCGGUCCACAAUUAGGUUACACUGAUUCUUUAUAGACUCCCCCAGAAGUUGAUUUUCAAGUGAACCCAUUUGGAUAUCUUGAAUUUUUCUCUUAAGUUGAUGACUUCGACUGUAAAGAUCUUUUGUUCCUACUAGUAUGUCUUAGCAAAAAUGUAUCCUGGCUGUAGCCUUUACAAAUCAGAAGUAAUGCUCAGAUUGUACAUAAAAUUUAUAUUCUCAAUAAAAUUAGUUAUUUUUGUUCAAUAUAAUACCUUAUAAACGUAAUCUUGUAGGGUUUUCUUUCCUGGUUUUCUGUUUUCUUGGUUUUCAUUUUCACUUGCCAACUGCAAUGGCCGUUCAAAGUCAUAUGGGAUGUGGUAAUUUCUCCUGAGGUUUGUGUAUGAAGAAAUUUCUCUUCUAAGGAUAAGAGGUAAGAAUGUUCAAUACAAGAAAAAGAUGAUUUGUGAUACUGACGGGGGACUAUUAGUUCUGUAUUUUUUCCUAGGUUAAUACUUGAAGUUGCAGGUUCUCACUAUCAGCUGCAUUUAUUAACUCGUACUAAAAAGUUGUUGCAUCAAAAUUGUGCUUCUCUUUACUGUGCUUCUAGGGUACUGACUUCUCACAGUGUUACAUGCACUAGGUUAUGCUUUAAGUCAUUAUUUGUAAUCAAUUUUGCAUUGCACUCUUCUAUAUCUCUCUCUCUCUCUCUCUCCACCUUUCUCCUAGUAAGAAAUCUAAAAUGUUUGCAGGUAAACUGCUCUCUUGGAUUUCCUGAUUGAAAGACCUAUAUACCUGGGAUUCAAUGCUAGAUUGCCAUCUGCCAUGUUCUGAUAAACCUGCAUUGCCACUGAGGUAACCUUUGUCUAGUCUUCACCAUAAACCUUUCCAGGCAUUUUAUAUUUUUCUUUACAAUUAUUUUUGCAAGAGAAAAUAUCUACAUUCUUUAUUUUCGUUCUCUUAGGGAAGGCGAGUCAUUAUUUCUAGGACAUUGUCUAAACCUUGGCAGUGCUCAUGUUAUGUAAUGUUCAUCCCCUGCAGUUUAAAGCUUACAUUUGAUUUAGUUUUACAUGCAUCUCAACUUGCUUUAUAUAAAAAGUUUGAUAUAUUGGAUGGGCACAUAAGGAAUCUUGUCAUGUUUGUAUUGAGACAUAAGUUCUUUAUGUAAUUUCUCCUCUAGGAAAGUAGACUUUAGGCUUGAGUAUACGUUUGCUUUAGUGGCUAUCAUUGUAACUCAAGCUGCUUGCUGGUAUUUGGUUUAAUUGUUCAUAUAUUGGCCUCUUCAGUUAUCAUGUUUAAGCAUUGCUGAAUUCAUUAGAAACUUGAGAUUCUUUUGCGUAAAAAUUGCACACCUUGUUUGGUUACCACAGUAGGGCGAAAUGAUUCUGAGGUGCUUCUGGUAUUUACUUGUUGAGAACUUUGAUCUGGCGUCCUGCUUUGCAGUGCUUCUGAGUGUAUGGUUAGGGAUGACUAUCGUUUUUAACUAAUUUUGUUCAGUUUCUUGGAAUCAUUCCUGUAUGUCGUGGUUUGAAAAUCAAGUUGCAAAACAAAAGAAAUUGUUCCUGUAUGAUGUGGUUCGAUAAUCAAGUCGCAAAACAAAAGGAGGAAAUUGUGGAGGUUGGGUUGUUUCCUUUGUUCAUUCAUCAUAUUAGUAACUAAGCAGAGACUGCCCUCCCAAUUUGCAUUCAUAUGACCUUUAAAUAUUUAUAAAAUUUUCCUUGGAAAAGAAAUCGACCCUGACAAUUAAUUGUGAGCCUGUUUCUCAGUUCUGUUUAAGCUUGUAAAGGUCUAGUUAUGCUGGGAAAUUCUGCUGCGGGGAUGGAAAUAUACACUCAAGUGUUUUACCUUGAAAUACUUGUGUAUUGAAAUGCAGGGAAGUUUCAACCAAUAAUAUGUGGGCUAUAUUUUGCAUUUUUGUGGUUGUCAAGUAUUAAUUUUUUGGUGACUGAAUUAAAAAAAGGCCCAUACUUUGUACCUGCAAUCGUUAGUUCAACGCAGAAUUGAGCCAAUUGCGAUGAUUCAAGGGCAGAUUUCUAUCAUACAAAACUUCCAUGACAUUGUCUGUAGACCACAAAGCAAGACAUUUUUCCAUACUUUAUUUCUUAGGAAUCUUCUCAUUUGGUUACUGUAUUAUUAAUACAUGUAUUACAAUAGUUAGAUAUAAAAUAAAAAAUAAUUCCUACAAAUUUAAGCUUGAAAUUAGAAAGAUAAGUAAAAAUUCUUGUCUUUUUAUUGCUAAAAGUAAGUCGUGAAAAUAGUUAAAUAUCAUUAAUUGAAUUAAUUUAUUACUAACUCAUACUAAAAUAUGUGCUAAAACAUGUGUAAAAAAUAAUACUCUUAUUAUUAAUGAUUUUAGUAAUCUUUAAUGUAAUUAAUGCUGCACCACUGAUGUGGCUGUUAGCUUGAUGGUAAGGAUUUUGGAAUUUAUUAUAUUUUUCAUGUCAUUUAUUUGAUAAAAACUAAACAAAGUAAAAACCAAUUCCAUCUCUAGUAAUCUUUUAGUUUUUCGUCGUCGGAUUUGCUGGCGGUGUCGUCGUAUUCUUCUUCUUUCGAACAAACCUUUCUUGUUUUUGGGUGAGUAGCUCGUCUGUCACCUCCUGUUCUGAACGUAGUUCGUUGCGGCCAUGGACAGAGAAGCUGAGGUGGAAAAAACGGUGCAAUAGUGGGAGUGGAACUGUUGCAGAAACGGAGCUGGGAAUAGUGUUAUAUUUGCUCUUCAGUUUUCAAACAUAUAAAAGUUUCACUAUGACCAAUGUUUUCCAAUUUGUGUGCGGGACAAGAGGGGAAAAGAAGAAAAAAAAUUGAAAAUCAACAAGAUGGUAAGUAAAGGGACCAAACGGAGCCGUUUGAAAUUCCGUCACAAUAAAACAAAUUUAAAUAUAGCUGGUGGAAUACAUGUCAUGGAUUUAGAGAGAUUUUUAUAUUUUUGUUUGGUAAGCUUCUGCUUUGCAAAAUUUUUAAGUUUGAUCCAUUCAUGCUUCUGGUAAUAUUGAUAUUCUCUAUGCAGGUGUGGAUUUAUCAAUUUUGCUAGUAAUAGGAAAUGUUUAUGCUGCCAAGAGGCAUGGCUCAAGAGAUUGUUAAAUCUUGGGGAAUGGGAAUGCCCUCCGUAUGUUUCUCUAUUUCCAGCUCCGCAACGGUUCCGCUCUCACUGUCGUACCAUUGUUUUUCACCUCAGCUUCUUUGUCCAUAGUCGAAACGGACUACUCUCGAAGAGGAAGGUGACGAACGAGCAACCUGAUCAGAAAGAAGUGAGGGUUGUCAAGAAGAAGAAGAAUUCGGUGAGGCUCCUGACGAGUCUAACGGCGAAAAAAUUGUUCUGGCGAAGGUGAUUGAGAGGAUUAUUAGAGAUGGAAUUGACUUUUAUUUUGUUUUGUUUUAUCAAAUAAAUGACAUUUAAAUGUGUUAAGGAUAUUAUUAUUAUUAUUAUUAUUAUUAUUAUUAUUAUUAUUAUUGUGGGAUAUCUUUUAGGAAUAUUUAAAUAUAGACAAGAAUAAGGUAAUCUCAUUUUAUUCAUAAACCUUAAAUGUAUACAUAAUAUUUAUAGGAAAGAUAUAUAAUAUAUUCUUAAAUAUAUGCCUAAAAGAUAUAUAAUAUAUUUAAAAAAGAUAAUAUCCCAUAAUAAUGUAUUCCUUAAAUAUAUCCCAAUAAUAAUAUCCUAACACCCCACUCAAGUUGGAGCAUGCAGAUCAUAAAUGCUGAACUUGUUGAGAAGCUAUUCAAAUUGCAAUUUAUCAAGCACCUUUGUAAAAAUGUUAGCCAAUUGAACUGAGGCCAGGACAAAAGAAGGUGCAAUCAACCUAUCCUGGAUUGCAUCCCUAGCAAAGUGACAAUCCAUUCAAUAUGUUUAGUAUGCUCGUGAAAUACAAGAUUCUGUACAAUAUGCAACGCAAAUUGACUAUCACAAAAAAAAAUAGCUUUAGGAUGAUGAACACCUAAGCUCAAUAGCAAGGCCUUUAGUUACUUGAACUCACAAGUGACGGAAGCCAUAGACCUAUACUCAUCCUCAGCGGAAGAAUAGGAAGCAAUAUGUUGUUUCAUAGUUUUUCAGGAAAUAGGAGAUUACCCCAAAAAUACAAGCUGGCCAGUAAGUGAAUGCCGAGUUGACAGACAAGUAGCUAAUAUGAAUCACAGCUCCCCUUUAAGGACAAAUCACUAUCAGAUCUUAAUAAAACUCCUUGGCCAAUAUAGCCUUUAAGUAUUGGGCAACCCAUAGAGUUGUGUCCCAAUGCUCCUGCCUAUAAACUAAGAUAAUACAUGAACCGAGUAUGCUAAAUCAGGUCUGGUCACUACCAAAAAAAUCAAACGAUCCAUUAACCAUCUGUACAACUCAGGAUCAGUUAAAACCGCCCCUAUAGCAUGUGCCAAUCUAUGAUUUUGCUCUAUUAGGAGUCCUGCGGGCUUUGCUCCCAAAAAACCCAUCUCUGAAAUAAUAUUAAGUGCGUAUUUCCUUUGACAAAGAAAUAUACCCAAAGAACUAUGAGCUACCUCUAUCCCCAAAAAAUAUGUCAUAAUUGCAAAAAAUACUCUCAACGUUUAGGGGUUUUUGGUUUUGUUGCAUUGACCUUUAAUUUAUUGUGGCCCCUAACAUAACGAUUUUUUCACAAUUCAGUCCAAUUUUAAUGGGAAACGUCAGUUGACCGUUAGUCAAGCGCCGAUCAAUAAAACUAUUUAUGUGGCGUGCCAAGUUGAAGAUGAUGUGUCAAGAAAAUAAUUAAAUAUAAAAUUAAAAAGAAAUAAAUAAUCUAAAAAAUAACCCCAAAUCGUGAAAUCCCAAAUUAUCCAAAAAAAUUAUAAAUCCCAAAUCAUGAAAUCCCUAAAAACUGUAAUUCCCAAAUCGUCGUUGAAUCCUUAAAACUCUUACGAUAAAAAAAAAGCUUCAACAAUUUCCAAUAUUCAAGAAAAUCGCGACAACAAAAGAGUUUAAUUGCAAAAGAAAUCUCAGGGGAAGGAGGGGGCAAAGAUUGAUAUGAUUAGGGCAGACUUCGUAACCCAAAUUGAAAGGUAGGUGAUUAUUGAUUGGGUUUUUUGGGAAAAUGUUAUGGUUAUUUAUUUAUUUUUAAUUUGGUAUAAUUUAGAUACCCAAAGUAAAAAAUGUUAUGGUUAUUGUCUGCUGUAGUUUCAAUUGCCAUAAAAAUAGGUUUUUUUUAACAAUAGUGGUGGUUGAAAAUUGUUAGUGUUGUCGAUUUUUUAUGUGAUAGUGGGUAUAAAAUGUAGGGAUCAAACUACAUAGAAAAACAAUAAUUCCAAGCAAAAAGCUUUUCAAAUAUGUUUGGAUAUCGAAAAGGCAGGAUGCCUACUAUGUUCUAUUGUUUACUUUUAGUAAUGUCUUAGUGCUUGUUGCUGUAUUCAAAGAAGUGGUCUUGUUUUGGAUUUUGGUUUUUAGUUGGUUUUUGCUGAGUAAAUUGUUUGUUUAUGGUUGCGAAUUUCGUGGGAUGAGAAAUAUUACCUUAUUUUGCAUGUGGGUGGGCACUUUGUAAAGGAUCCAUAUGAUAGAUAUGUAAGUGGGGAAGUGAUUACGCUUAAAGAGGACCCAGACGUAAUAUCCUAUUUUGAAUUAUGUAAAAUAGUGAAAAUUGGGUUAGGGUUUCACAUGGUCAUGUUAAUAUAUUUUCAUGAGCCUGGUACAGUAGGGUUGUAAAAUAAUCUCAGGGUGAUUUAUGAUGACACUUCCACAAUAGCUAUGUUAGACUUUUGAGUUAAGUUUAAGGAGAUUAACCUAUAUGUUAAACAUGAGGGAGAUAUGUUACUAUUGGUUGUUGGGGAGAGUGAUUUUGAAGAUGAUAUGUUACUAUUGAGUGCUGGAGAAAGUGAUUUUGAAGGAGUAGAAGCUGAUGGGAAGGGUGAAGUUGAAGGGGUACAAGUUGAUGGGGAGGGUGAUGCUGAAGGGGGAGAAGCUGAUGGGGAGGGUGAUGUAGAAAGGGUACAAGCUAUUGGGUAGGGUGAUGUUGAAGGGUAGAAGCUGAUAGGGAGGGUGUGACUUCUACAUAGUUUGGGGUAGAUGAGUAUGGUGGUGGGCAGAUAAGUUUAGGAUCAACUAUUGGAGAAGAUAAUGGAGUGGUUUGGAUCAUCUAUUGGUGAUGAAAAUGCUGUUGAUUUUGCAACAUCAGAUGGAAUGGACAAUGUUGCUACUGUAGUUAGUGAAGAGGAGGAUGGGAAUGAGACUGAGGUAUAUGACUCAGAUGAACAUGGCAGCUUGGUUAGGUCAGAUAAAGAUGAAGAACAUGAAGAUGGCGAGAGAAGGAUAAGCAAGUUUCCCUUAUACAAAGACCAGUUUGAUUCGUUAAAAUUUAGUUUGGGAAUGUUGUUUAAGGAUAGCAAACAAUUUAAGAGUGUAAUUCGAAACUACUUUAAAGAAUGUAGAAGACAACUAAAGUUUCUUAAGAAUGAACUGAAAAGGGUUGUUGUGAAGUGCAUUGCUUCCCCUAACUAUCCAUAGAGAAUUUUGGCUAGCUACAAUCCUGUUGCCAAGUGUUUGCAAAUUAUGAAUUUUCAGAAGGAGCACCAUUGUUUGGUUAGUUUUAAGAACAAAAUGGUGAUUGCUACUAUGAUUGCCCAACAUUUUGAAGCAAUUAUCAAGGAUCACCCUAAGAUGAAGCUGAGGGAAAUUCAAAGAAGUGUGCUUUAGAGAUGUAUGUAAAUGUGAGCAUUGACUGUUGUUAUAGAGCCAACAAAAUAGUGAAGGAGAAAAUGAUUAGGAAUUUUAAGGAGUAAUUCGGCCAGUUAUGAGAGUAUGCUCAUGAGUUAAGGUCAAAGAUGGCUGACAACACAAUAAAAUAGCUAUUCAAAUGGUGACAACAAACUCCGCUUCUUAUUUUAAGAGGUUUUAUGUGUGCUUUGAUACACUAAAGAGAGGUUGGAAAGUGAGGUGUAGGCUGCUCAUUGGGCUGAUGAUUGCUUCCUAAAAAGCCCAUUUAAGAGUGAAUUUCUCGCAACUGUUGGAAGAGACGUAAACAACCAAAUGUUCCCUAUUGCAUGGGCUAUGGUUGAAGUGGAGUGCACUGAUUCAUAGGUCUGGUUUCUCAGUCUUCUAUCAGCUGAUUUGGGCUUGGAAGAUGGGUAUGGAUACAUAAUUAUUAGUGACCAACAGAAGGUUAGUGAGUUAACUAAUUUGGGUUUGGUCUUAUCUUUUUAUUCUGUUAAGUAUAAUUAACUAUAUUUUUCUAACAAUCUAUCUGGUUCAUUAUGACACAAUUAGGGCCUUGAGAUUAUAAUUUCUGACAUAUUGCCAAGGGUGGAACAUAGGAAUUGCGUGAGGUACGUGUUUGCAAAUUGGUCAGGGAGGAAGCUAGGGAAAUCAUAUGAGUAUGAAUUUUGACAGAUUGUGAAGUCCACGACUGAGUGGGAGUGGGAGGAACUAUGUGUAGCAUAGAGAAAAAAGAUAAGGGUGCUUAUGAUUAUUUGACGAGAAAGUCUCCAAAUAUGUGGACUAGGGAUUUUUUGGGGACUACUUGUAAAUCAGAUAUAGUUGACAACAAUAUAUGUGAAGCCUUUAAUUCAAACAUUGUUGAAGCUAGGUUCAAAAGCAUUAUCAAAAUGCUUAAGAAUAUUAGGACCAAGAUGAUGACUAGGAUAGUACAAAAAAGGAAGUUAUGUAAUGGAUGGAAGCAAAAUUAUGGUCCAUUGGUGAAAGCUAAGUUUGAAGCCAACAAGAAGGACUAUGUAAAGUGGCAAUUGAUAUGGAAUGGUGAAAAUGGAUGUGAGAAGAGAAAAGGAAGUUAUUGAUAAAUGCCAAAAGUAAAAUGUUUUAGCUUCAUUCUAAAUGAAUUUUUUGAUGAUUAUUUGAUUUAAAAUGGUGAGUUUUAUGCUUUUAAUCCUUUAAAUUCAUGUUUCUAUACUUGGGAGAGCAUUUGGGAGCAAAAAGAGCGAAAAAUGAUCGAAAAACGAUAGAAAAUUGAAAAAUCGAAGCAAGUUUCAAGAGCCACACGGGCUGGACACACGAUCGUGUGGGUCACACGGGUUGCCACACGACCAUGUGCUAGAUCGUGUGGAUUUCACGAAUCGCACUCCAAACAUGCGAGAAAACACAAUUUUUAGUUUUUCGGGCAUUCUAAGACAUAUAUAUGACAAAGAUAAGAAUAUGAUAGUGAGUUGUCAGAGAAUAUUGAAGAAAACAACUCAAAAAACACAACUGAAGCUGACUCUGAAGCAAAUUUCCAUUAAGAUUGAAUAUCUCCUUUUGAAUUGUUUGAAGUUUAUUAGGAAUUUCUUUAUUCUUGUGGUUAUAUUGUCUUUGAGAUGUUUUUAUUUGCUAUCAUGAACUAAUUUUCCAAAUAUCUAGGGAGAUGGACCCUAGGAUGGAUUCUGUCAUUUGAUUUCUAUUUUUACGCAAUAAAUACUUAGAUCUUGUUCUCAAUUAUGUGUGUUUAAUUCUUGGUUUAAUAUUUCUAGAUUAUUAAUCCAUGUUUGAUGUGCUUGAAUCAGAGGAGGAAUGAACCCUGUUUAAGAGUAGAUCUAGCAUAAUUGAGUGGAGUUGCAUGCAAUCCUAGAAAUAAGACGACAUAAAUCUACCAUAUUAGAGUUAAAUCUAAUAGGGGAAUCCAUAUAUCGAGUUAAUGCGAUAAUAGGUGUUUUAAUUAGAAAUAAAUUUCAACUAAUUAACCUAGAGUCAGUUGCUCUUAGUCUUGAAGAAAGAUAUUAGAAUAAUUUAGGGAUUUCUACAGAUCAAGAUACUAAGUGAAGAAAUUGCAUAAUUUAGAUUAAUAAUGACAUAUGAAGUCUAGGUGGAUUCUUUCCUGGGUAUGGUAUCGCUUCUUGGUUGUUAAUAAUUUAUUUUAUUGAUUUUUUCUUUGCUGUAUUCUUUAGUUAAUUAAUUUAGUUAACUUUAGUUUUAAUCAAUCAAUCCAAUUUUUCGGUUAAAUAAUAGAAAGACGGUAAUUAUUAGUACUUUUAGUCCUCGUGGGAACGAUAUCUUUCCUCACUGUGGCUAUAUUAUUAAUUGAUAGGUGCACUUACCUUUGUCAAAUUUUUAGUUGGUUUACAACUGCAAUCAAUUAUCAAUAUACAGUGGACCUAAGUCAAAGGAUAUGUAGUUGUAGAAAUUGGAAAAUUAGUGGGAUUCCAUGUGCCCAUGCAUGUACUACCAUGUAUCACCUAGGGCUUCAACCAGAUGAUUAUCUGCAUGAAUGUUAUUACAUAGAAACCUAUAAGAAAGGUUACUCAUUUCCAAUGUAGCACAUAAAUGGGCCACAUGAUUGGACAAAAAUUGGUAUUGAGCUAGUGCUACCUCCUAUUGAAACGAAGAUGCCUAGGAGGCCUAAAAAGAAUAGGAGGAUGUCUAAAGAUGAACCGAAGAAUUGAAGCCUGACCACUUGAGUAGGAAAUGUCAAAUCAUGACAUGUACUCAAUGUGGUCAACAUGGCCAUAACAAGCGGUCUUGCACACAAGGAAAUGAACAUGCUAAAUAGGUACAAUGUUGUUCUUCACUUAUAUAUAUUGAGUAAAUUUAUUUUGUCUAACCACUUUUAUUAUGGUCCAUGUUUUGUAGCAAGAUGCACAACCACCCAAACAAAAGGGGAAAUCUCCCAUUAAAAAGUCAACAACCUUAGAUAAAUAUAAGGGAAAGUAACCCAAGAGAGGCAAAAUACAUAGAACAUGUGUAAUAGUGUGUUUUCAAUGAUUCAAAAACAAUGGUUUCGAGACCAUAAUUUUGACGAGUGAAUUAUUAUUUUAAUAUUUAUUAUAGGUCUAUGGGAUUAUACUAAGGUCGUAUUAAAAUUUUCUUAAAAAAUUUUGAUGUUUAAAUGGUUAAUUAAGCGAAAAGGACUAAAUCGUAAAAAGUGUAAAAUUUGAGUUCUAUUAGUUAAAAGGGUCCAAUGGCUAUGAAAUCUUAAACUAAAGGACUUGAAUAGUAAAUAUACCAUUUAAGGUGUUAGUAGAUGUGUAUGGAGAAGCUUUUAAUUAAAUUUUGAUAAUUUUUAAAGGUUUAAAUGACAAUUGAUUAAUUAAAAGAAAAAUUAAGUAAAGAAAGAUGAGACAAAGUCAUCAUCUUCUUCUUUUCAUUUUGUUACAACUGAAAAUCACCAUUUUUUUAGGGUUUGAGCAUUCGACUAGGCUUUCAUCUUGCAUGUAAGCUAUUCUGGGCCCCGUUUUUAAUGAUUUUUAUGUUUUUGAGUUUGUUUUAGCUUAAACUAGCUAGCCCGGGGGGUCAAUUUGCAAAAAAAUUUUAAGUUUGAGAGAUUUUACAUGAAUGUUUUUGAAUAGGUUUUGAUGUUAGUUGAUAGAUUAUUAGUUUUGGUUGUAAAACAAACAUGUUUUGUUAAGUGAUUUUGAUGAAAAUGACAAUUAGCGAUUAAAUUGUUAAAAGUGUGAAAUCAUGAGUUUUGUUGUGAAUUGUUGAUAAUUAUGAGUUGCUUUAAGGUCCCUUGCAUCAUGGGUUAAGUUGGAUUUAGGUUAAAUUGGUUAAAUUUUAAGUUAUGAGUUUAAUGACUAAACUGUGAGAAGUUAAAAUAUUAGGGGAAAAUUUAUAAUUUUAUAUAAUUAUGAAUUAUGGAUUAAAUUGAGUUCUAGAAGUAUUUAAUUGAAUGAAAUUAUUUAUUCAGAUAAAGAUAAACCACAAUCGAAUCUAAACUAAGGAAAAGCUAAAGUUUUGGACUAGUUCGACUUUACUUCUACGCCCUGAUUAUCGAGGUAAGUUCGUAUGAACUGCAAUCGUAUUAAUGCUAGUUAAAUUUUAAUGUUUUCUAUGUUGUAAUAUAAAUGAAUUUGAAAAUAAAUGUAUUCAUGCUAUGAUGAAUUGACGAAUAAUGAGUCCCAAUUGAACCUUAAGAAUUCUUAGGAUGCAAAUGACAUGUUAUUAAGGAUUUCAUGUUUCGGGUGCUAAUCUUGAAUGUCCUACUGAUGGCUGAGGUCCUAUAUUUGUUGUGGAUUCUCCACAGCUCGUGUGAGCAGCAUUGUGUAGCUUACAUUCCGACCCACAACUCAUGUGAGCAAGCCCAUUUCACAACUCAUGUGAGCAAUGAUGUAAAGGAAAUGUUACGAUUAUAUGCAAAAACACACUAUGUGUGAGCUUUCCCGAGUAUCCGAUAAAAUUUUCAAUGGGUAAGAAAAAGGAAAUUAAAUGGUAAGUAUGCAAAUGGAAUGAAUCAUGAUCUUAUGACAACAUUGAUGAGUUAAAUGUUAUGUAUAUAUAUGGUAAAAUACAUAACUUAUGGUUGAUUUCAUAUGUAUCAUGAACAAGUAUACUAACUUGUGAAUUUGAUGAUGUUGUAUAGGCUUUUAAUAAGCUUAUGGCAUUGAUGAUGAUUUAUGUUUAAUCUGUGAAUUGCAUAAAUGACAUGGUAAGUUAUGUUUUAGUUUAUACGAGCUUACUAAGCACUCGUUUCUUACGUAGUUUCUUUACUUUGUUUUAUAGAUUAUCGAAAGCUUGACUAGUUGGAAGUUUGUCAAAGACCUAUCCCACUAUCCAACAACUAAUUUGGUAGAUUUUGUGUAUUUUGGCCAAGGUUAAUAAUGGCAUGGAUAGGUUGUUUUGUAAUGGUGAUUUGGUAUGUUUAUGCUUUUAAGUCUAUGGUUGAUUUGGUACACUUUAAUGCUUUACCAAGUUAUGUCAAAUUGGUCAUUUUUGAGUACUUGCAAAUAAGAUUCUUUUGGUAUGUUGAUGAUGACUUGAAAAUGGUAAAUUUGUGACAUUUUUUGACACAUAUUUGAACUAGGUCUUUAUGCAUGAAUUGAGUCAAUGGUAACAUGUUUAGGUAAAUGAUGUUUUGAUGCUAUUGUAGUGCCUUUGAAUGGCAUAUUGGUUAGGUGAUUUAGGAUGAUUGAAAUGAAAUGUUUAUGCAUGUUUGAAUGGUUUUUGAACCCCUUGAAUGUGUGCUUAAAUGGUUUGAAUGAUUAGGUAUCAAUUGAACUUGUAAUGGUUUGAUUUUAGGUAAAUUUUGGGUUCACACAGCCUGGGACACGAGUUUUCACAUGGCUUGGCAACACGGCUGUGUGUCAUUUGAGUUUUCUUAGUGUUUCAAGUCAGUGAGUUACAAGGCCUAGCACACCAACAUGUGUGGCAACUCAGAGAGUUACACGACCAAGCACACGGCCUGACACAUGGGCGUGCGGGGUAUCUUAGUGAGUUACACGAGUGAGGACACGGCCGUGUAUCCGUUGUUCGAAAGUUACACGGCCUCGGGUGAUGUCACAUGGCUUGCCACACGGUCAUGUACCCCUAUUUUCCAAUUUUUACAACUUUUUCUUAAACUUCCUGUUUUGUUUCAAAUUAGUCUGGAAUUGCUUCUAAGCUAUUUUUAGGGCCUCGAAGGCUCGAUUUAGGGACAAAAUGCAUGUGAAUGAAUGAUUUAUGAUAUGUUUAAGAUAUUUAAUGUUAUAAAGGUAAAUGUUUUCUGUUUGUACGGUAAUACUUCGUAACUCUAAUUUGGCGACGGAGACGAGUUUGGGGUGUUACAAUAGGGUUGUAUACAGACUUGAAUACUUGGAAUCAAACAUUUUAUGUGAGUUUUCUUCAUUUUACUAUUGAUCAAACAUUGUAUAUUGUUUUGAUAAACUUAAAACAUUCUUGCAGUCUGGUAGAACCACAAGGAGCAUAGUGACAGGUUCAUGUAAGGAUGGUACUAGACAAUCUUCUUCGACACCCAAGUCGCCAAAGAACAAGAGAAAGGCUCCUCUUGACCAUUUGGGAACAUAAGAAUCAGUUACAGGAAACAUGAGUCAAUCAGUAGAGAAAUAGUUGACAAGGGUGAAUGUUAUUUUGUCACAUUUUGAGCCUACAACCUUCUGGUUUUGGAAUAAACCAAAAGCGAAUGUUAUUUUGUUGUAUUAAUAACCAAGAUGUUGGUUUUUUUGUGAUUGAUGUAGCUAAGUAUAGCUCACCUACAGUAGUAUAUUAUAUCUGUUACAUCAAACUUUUUUUUGGCUAGUAUAGCAUGAAUGGUGUAUAGGCUAAAUCAUUACCUAUGGAAAGCUUUUGUAAAGUACAUUUAUCCUAAUUUCAAUGGAGAAAUCAUAUAAUUAAAUGGGGGGAUAUUUUUCAGUCUUAUAUUUCUUUUCACUGCAUUAUUUACUAAGCUAAAUUAAAUUACAUAAACAACAACCAAAAUUGGUCAUUAGUUCCGGGAAUAAUGUAUAUAAAGGUUCCUAAUUACAUAAACAGCAUAACAUGAAGCUAUGUUGGAAAAUUUUACAUUCAAUGAACAUUUCCAGCUGCUAGUUGCAUAUGCCUUUUACCACUACUGCCAACAAAGAAACCUAUGGUGAUAACUUUCAUUUUUUCCUUUAUGGUCAUCAUUAACUUCUCCUUAUACAUAACAUCAAGCAAUAAAAUAAUAUCUUAUACAUUGACUUCUCCUUCUUGAUAACUUUCAUUUUUUCAUUCAUGGCCAUCAUUUUGUUCCUUAAUGCUAGUUAUCCUUCAACACCACAAACUGGUCUACCUCCUUCAACCUUAGUGUCAAUAGCACUAUUGCCACCAUUAUGGCUACCAUCAAAUGCAACCAAAUCCAUAAAGUGCUGAAUUCUCCUUUGAAAGAUUUCAUUCACUGUCACACAAUUGAUGUAGUAAUUUAGUCACACGGUCACACAUAUUCCCAUCGUACCACUUGAAGAAAUCAUAACCAUAGCCCUACAAACAAAGCCCAAAUUAGUGACAACAAAAGAAUUUAAAUCAUAAACCCUCAACCUAGGGAAAUUUUUGAAAUCAUCCAAAUUGAGCUAAAGGAGCAAAUAAAAUUAUUCUUCACUUACCCAAAAAUCUA